UUGCCCCCGCUGCCGCCGUUGGGGAUGGUGGAGCCGACGGGGGCCAUGAAGAAGGUGAUGCCGUCAGCGGUGAGGUUGGUGGGGCUGGGUGUGAUUAUGAAGUUUACGGUGGUUUCAAAGUCGACUUGGCCGCCGGCUUGGGAGAACUGGACCGGGUUCGAGUGCAAGACCCGGCCGACACUGCCUAUCGUCGGGAAGGUGAGGCGGAGGAAGGGGGAGUUCCAUACGAAAUGGGCGUGGCCUUGGUAGGUGAGAUCGGUCGGCAAGUCACUCCAGAAGUCGUAGGUGAAGGACGUCGAUUGGGACUGCGCAGUGUUGGCGGCAGCGGCGAGGAGGAGGAUGAUGGAGGAGAGGAGAGGAAUUAGGGUUUGGAGGAGCUUAGCCAUGGCUUAAUUGAGUAUAUUUAGAUGUGGUGGAUGAUGGUGGUAUCUCUUGCUCCUAUUUAUAGUGAAUAGUGUAUAGUGUAUAGAGUAUAGUGUAUAUAUGCAUGAUAUUAUGAUUUAAUUGCCUAUGAAUUAUUAAACUUUCAUCAAAUUCUUAUUUUAUAUAUAAACUUCAAAUUAAAUGUAGCGUGAUAAUCACUAAAUUUAUUUAAUCUUAUAUUUGCUACCAAUCAGGAUUCUAGCCAAAUUUACUAUUGACAUUACAAAGUCGAGGAUAUCCUAAGAUGGAUUGAAACAUUAAGAUAUUCCAAGGAUCUUAAUAAUUUCUAUCAUUUGGCAUAAUUUUAUUUGAUUCAUAUCUCAUUGAAAGAAUAUGAUUUUUAUCCCCUCCGUUCACAAAGAUUGUAUGGUGAACUCAGGACAUGAGUUUUAAUAAAUACUUCUUCCGUCCCCAAAAUAACUUUCUAUGAGAGAGGGGCACGAGUUUUAAGAUAAAAUUGUUGAGUGUAUUCGAAGUGGUUAAAAAGUGUUAGUAUUGAAAGUGAUGAAAAUGUGUUAUAAUUAGUAUUUGAAGUGGUGAAAAGGUAAAAAAAUAGAGUAAAUAUAUGGAGUAUAUAUUAGUAGAAAGUGUAGAAAGAUCCACCAAAAUUGAGUGGAGAAAAAGAUCCACUAAAAUUGAUGUGUUAAAUGGUUGAAUAUUUUGUAAAUAUUGAAUGUGAAUGAUGUUUAAAAUGUAAGGGGCGUAGUUUCUAAAUAAAGAAAGCAUACAAUCUUUAUGGACAGACGAAAAUAAUAAUAAACAUACAAUCUUUGUGGAUUGAGGGAGUGAUAAACAUUUCAUUCAUUUAUUGUGGUUUGGAAUCGAUCUUUAUCAACAUUACAUGCAUUCACAAAUAUGAAGAAGGAUUUAAAACGUGUGACACCUUAUUUUAUAUUUAAAAUCGCAAUCACGAAGAGGACCACACUUAUCCUCUAAUCAAUGCUCUCCAUUAUUUUAUAGGAAAGGAUAAACAUGAUUCUUGGUUUAUUUAUGCUUUUAAUAUAUACAAUUAGAUGAUUUUUGGGGCAAAAAGUGAAGAUUUUGAUGUCCGACGGAGUCAAGUAAAGAAGUUGAAAAAAUCGAUUUUUGAUGCAAUUUUAGAAGAUCCAAAGAUGAUAAGAUCUGUGCUUGAGGGAACUUAUUUUGCAUAAGAAAGACUUUCAUUAAUUUCUUAAUUCGAGUAUAAAAUUAGAGGAUUAAAACCACAACUAAUGUUCCUUUGGCUUUUCCUUGAACAAUGUUGGGUAGCUAGUGAAUUUUCUUUGGUAAGUUCGUCCUUUUCUUUGACAAUGAGAAUUGACGUAAAUUGGAUUGUAUUGAAGAUUCUAGUAACAUUAUUCUAGUUUAUAUUUCAUGAUUUAAGGGCUGAAAAUAUGUAAGUAUGUUAAAGGCUAAAUUUUAGGUAAAUAAGUGCUCCAUACUUUGUUAAUAUGCCACUUUACAAAUAAUGUAUGUGUGAACUUGAAUUUGUUUUUUCAUUUAAAGAGAACUAAUAAUGAUAUCCAUUUCCCCCGUGAUGAUUCGAACCCCCAACUUAACAAUUACUGGUGAAACGUUUUAUCCAUGUGAUGACUCUAACCCCCCAAUUUAUAAUUAAUGAUUGGAUGGGAAGCGUAUUGAGGUUGUUAGUGAUUCUUCCAAGGUUAUUUUGUAACUAUGAACUAUCGAUUUUGUAUCAAUUGUACCCUGCAUUUGUUUUUUAGCUAGAGAAAAUAUGAGAAAAGAAAUGAGACAUUUAAAGGCAUAAAUUUUUGUUAUCCCUCAUUUUCUCAUCCAUCAAAGUGAACGCACCCUUAAAUGAUGAUUUGAAAAAAUAAAGUGAUUGUUUCUACGCUAAACCUAAUUGCGUUCGGCCUUUUUCGUUAUUUUAGUAUUUUCCUCAUUUAUUUUCAAUUCUGUUUCCUAUAUAUGGAUAUUUGAUGUAUGAGAAGAUGCUUUCAUAUGAUCCAUUUCAGAAAUAAAAUUAUUUAUUUUCUUUCUCACGAAGAGCGCUCACUUUGACAUCAGUAUCGCAUGAGCUGCACAUAAUUAAUGAAAGAAAAUAAGCAUACACUUGCAUUAUAUAAGAAGAGCAUAUAUACUCGCAGCCGUUUCUCAUAAAUUUCACGCAGUUUUUCGAUCUUUAGAGCCGCCGGCAUGCUCGGCCGAUCUGAAGCUCCAGUAGUCGAUAUCGUGAAGGGCGACGAGGUCGCCGGUGGAGGAGGCGAUUCCGACCUGAACCUGCGACGGAAGAAUUUCCCCCAAAUCAUACUCGUAUUCGAGAAGGCGAGUUUCUUUGUCGCAUUUGAGCGUAACGUCGAUGAAAUUGAUGCCGUCGUAUUGUAUGUGCAGCUGCGCCUCUUUCCCGAUGCACGAAUCGCCAAAUUUCACGAAGUUGCUCGACUUUAUCGAGCUGAUGUCGAUGCCGAUGUGCGGGAGAUCGUGGCUCGGAUCCCAACCGUUGGAGUAGAGGUCGAAUUCCACGGCAAAGAAGGCGGAGGCGGCCGGGCUAUCCCCCGAGGGGUUGAAUAGGCCUAGAUUGCCUCCGUAGGAACCCGGGGGGAUGGUGGUCCCCACGGGCGCCAUGAAGAAGGCGAUGCCGUCCGCGGCCGGGCCUUUUGUGGGGGUGAUGGUGAAUUUUAUGGUGGUAUUGAAAGAUACUACAAUUGAAUUUUCCCACAAUUUGAAGGGUUUGGAGUACAAUACGCGGCCGAUGCUCGACGGCCGUGGAAGGCCGUUGGCGUCGGUCUUGGUUAGCCGGAGGGAACGGGCGCCGUCGGGGACGUGGGCGUCGCCCUGGUAGGUUAGGUCGGUGGAGUUGGCGACGAAGGAGGUGAAGGUGAAGGAGGUCUUUUGUGAGGUCGCCUUGUUUGCUAGCAUUAGGAAAAAUGCUAUGCAAAAGAGGAGAAGAAUUAGGGUUUGUAGAAGCUUGGCCAUGGCUUGAUUUGAUGGGUGGAGUAUUAUUUGGAUGUAGUGAAUAGUGGUUGGCUCUCUAGCCCUAUUUAUAUUGGUUUAAUGCCACAUUCCAUUAUUAGUUUAAUAUAUUGUAGCUCACUAUUUUUUUUGAACUUUAUGGAGAAGGCAUGAGUUUUUUAAAAAAAUUGAGAAAUGUGUAUAAAAUGAAUAAAGAGGCUCACUAAAGUUGAUUUGGCAGGUAUUAAUAAAUUAUUUGUGUGAUGAGUUUUUUGUAAAUAUUGUGUGUGAAUGAGGGUAAAAUAUAAAGGUACAUAUGUCUUAAAAGGGACGGAAAUGACAAAUACUUAUUGUGGAUAAAGGUAGUAUAAUAUACGGAGUGUAUACUUAAGUUUAUCAAUUUUAUUACUAAAUUAAAUAUGGUUAAUUUAAUAUCAAUAUGCUUAUUAGUAAUUAGUAUUACUCCAUUCAUCCCAAAAACAUCAAUCUUUACUUAUUUUUUCGUUCGUCUCCAAAACAUCUUCCUAAUCUAUUUUUAUGUCCUGUAUUAAAUUUUCAAGCUAGUUUCACUCCCCAACUAUCGUUUAAAUUAUACAUACAUAUAUGGACGACUUGAAAAUUUGUUAAGGCAAUUGAUUAUGCCCAUGCCGUAUAGAAUCAAAAACCAUUCCUAAACAAAAAAUAGAAUAAUUAAGAAAAUAAUCUAGAAUAUAAAUAUAGAACUUAAAUUCUUUGCCACAAAUUUAAGUCAAUCAGCCGACAUAGUAAAUGUAUGUGUUUACAAGUAAUCAUGCCUUGUCUUGAGAUUCAAGUUGGCAAUUGAAGCAAAAUUUCUCACACAUAGCUAUCUACUCUAGCUAUGAAAUCAUGCAUUGUCUUGAGAUUUAAUUUGGCCCAUGAAUCCAAAUUUUGCAAUCAUGCCAUGUCUUAAGAUUCAAUUUGGCCCAUGAAACUAAAUUUCUUGAGCCUAUCUCUAACCUCUUUGAUAUUCAUAUAUAAUAACACCUUUAAAACACACACAACCCACUUCUAAAGUUCUACAUGUAUACACACGAACUCAUGCUUAUGUCACAAAUUAAGUUUUUCAAAAAUAAACUUUUCCCUAUUUGAAUUCCUUAUGUAUUCAGUUUGUUUUUAAUAUUUAAACUAUGUUAUUACAACAAAAUUAUCUAGCAGGGACAUGAUUUUAGCAACAUAAAAAAAGAUGUCAUAAAUUUCUUACUCCCUCCGUCCUCCGAAGCUUGAUCAACAAUUUCUUUUCGGCACGGAGUUUAAGGAGUUAAUAUUUUGUAUGUUAAUUAGUGUGGUAGGUGAAAAAAUGAAAAGAUGAAUAACGGGAAAAGUUGUUGCCAUAUAAGGAAAGUGAUCAAGCUUCGCGGAUAACCCAAAAAUGAAUACUGCUCAAGAUUCGCUGGAAGAAUGAAGUACAAUUUUAGGCAUAACAAAAAUUUAUUUACAUCCACACAUGCAUGCACCGAUACUUUAUCACAUGCAAAAUUACAAGUAACUUUGCUAAUUACAAAAAUUAAUACAUGAACCCUCAAAUGUCACUAGAUGUAAUGAUAUUUUUAUAUUUUUUCGACACACAUAAUAGUUACUCAUCACAAAAUAUCAAUAUUUUUAUCAUAUAGUGAUAUUUAUAAGUUUCACAAUUUUUCAAAUAUUAUGUCAAUGCUAGCUUAGACAUUUUGUUUUGACACUUUGUAUUGAAACAUGUUUUUUACAAAAAUAAAAUAAUUGAAUUUAUUAACGAAUAUUUAAACAAUCAAUCAAUAAUAACUACAAAGUGAAGCAAUUCAAGUUAAAAGGUAAAUUCUAAAUUUAAAUUUGAAAAACAAGAAAAUUCGAGCCUUAAUUUUUUUUAUUUUUUUAUAUACGCACUACAAAUCUCCCAUAAAUCUUAAAUCAAAAUUUAACCUUACAACAAAAAAUAAAUAUAUAAACUAAAAUGGAGUAUGAUAAUAUAGUUUUAUCAAAUUAUUUGAUAAUUCUAUUAAUAAAAGAUAAAAAAAAAAAUAAGGGGGGCCCACGGGCAUGCUGCCCCCAUAUGCUAUGGACCAUGGUGGCUAGGUCACUGCGCUCUCGAGAUCUACACUAUUUAUACGUGGUAUUCAUUGCGAAUUAUUUUGCAUUAUCUUUGUUUAUUUUUCUUAUAUUGGGAAAGAAAACAUGAGUAAUAUAUAGUAAUCUUUUAGAAGUCCAGUUACCAAUGUCGUCAAAAUUAUCUUGUCUAUUUUUAGAAGUUCAGAUAAACAUGCAACACAUUUUCAGAAGAAAUUUAAUAAUCUCUUACGAUUUACAUUUAUUUUUUAAAUAAUUAUCUCAGUGGUGAUAAAAUAAAAAAAUCGACUACAUUUUUCUAAGUAAUUUAUUAGAUACAAAAUAUUAUGAUUUAUGUUUGUAUAUUUUUUGUUUCCCAUUAGUGCAUUAUCAUUUCUAAGUAUCUUCUCACUUGUUCACUGAUUCACUAUUGGAUUAACAUGAAUAUACGAAUUUCAUAGUAUACCAACUGUUCGAUAAAAGUCCUAAAAGAAAUCUUCCAUAGAUAACCUUGCAAAUAACAGGAAACUAAAAUUACUCCCAAAGCAUUCCAUACAUAGAGAUGCGGAUUACCUUAUUCGUAGACUUAACGAGAGUACACUCGAUCGCUAGUCCUUAUUUACGACCCAAACUACACAUACAUUACAAAAUCACACAACUUGACGAAUGUUUCCACCGAGCUCCUUCCUGCUCUUGGCAGCGACGCCGACGUUUUGCACCAUGGUGGCCGUGAAAUACCACGCCACGAUGUCGUGUCUGGCGACGACUUGCCCCGUGGAGGCGGAGAGCCCGACUUGGACCUGCUCAGGAAGGAAGCCGCUCAAAUCGUACACAUAGCUGACCUCGAACGCUUUCGAGCCGGCGGUGACGUGGACGUCGAUCAUCUUCGUGGCGGCGGCGUAGUUGAUCCUUGCCGUCACCUGCUGCCCGAUUAUGGAGCCGUCGACCUCCGUCGUGUUGCCGGAUGACCUAGAGCCGAUGUCGAUGCCGAUGUGGGGAUAGUUCGGAUCCCACGCGCCGUUGACGUAGGUGUCGAACUCGACGGCGAAGACCGAGGGGCUGCUGCCGGAGGAGCCGAAGAUUCCGAGGUUGGAUCCGCUAGAGGAGGAAGGGAUGGUGGACCCGACGGGGGCGAUGAAGAAGGCGAGGCCGUCGGCGGCAGAGUUGCCGGGGCCAGGUGUGAUGAUGAAGUUUACGGUGGUUUCAAAGUCGACUUGGCCGCCGGUUUGUGAGAACUGGACCGGGUUCGAGUACAAUACCCGGCCAACUUUGGCGGUCUGUGCGUCGGUGAGGCGGAGGAAGGUGGAGUCCGACGGGAAAUGGGCGUCGCCUUGGUAGGUGAGGUCGGUCGGCUGGUCGCCCCAGAAGUCGUAGGUGAAGGACGUCGAUUGGGACUGCGCCACGUUGGCGGCGGCGAGGAGUAGGGCGACGGAGGAGAGGAGAGGAAUUAGGGUUUGGAGAAGCUUGGCCAUUGCUUAAUUGAUUUGGAUGUGGUGGAUGAUGGUGAUAUGUCUUAAGCUUGCACUCCUAUAUAUACUAGUGUAGUUCAUGCAUGAUAAUGUUGUUUAAUCAUCAUAUAUUUUAUUUCAUUAAAAUGAAUCACCUCGUCCAUUCGAGGUAAAUGAACCAUGUGAUCUUAUGUACUACCAGCCACAUUUUAAUUUGCUCGUUGGAAUAUUAUCUAUAGUUGUAUCUAUUGUAUUUGUAUAAAUGAUUUUUGGAAGGGAACUUAGAAAAAGUUCUUGAUAGGGGCUGUAUUUUUUAAUUUCAAGUGCAAAAUUAAGUUUUGAUAGACAAUUUACUUAUGAUUCAAUUUAACGAUCGGGUUUUCUGAAAAAAAAAAAUUCACACAAAAAAUCGAUUAUUUAAUAAUUUUAUAAGAAAAAAGAAGAAGAAGAAAUUUUCUAUUUAGGAUAUACACGAGCAGAUGAGAUCCUCUGUCCCACUAUUUUGUGUGUACCACCAUGUACCAUUCUUAAUUUAUUUAUUUUAGUAAUUAUUUUUUAUAAAAAUAAAAAUUAUUAUUAUAUUUUUUAUUUUCAUUUAAGUGAGUUACUAGAUUUAUUUGGGGUGAGCACAGGUUAUUUUGGAAAAGGAGAAUAUCUGUAAGAUGAUGUGAAAAUUAUUCAAUAUAAGCACAUAUAGGGGUUGAGUUCUCAAAGGAACUUAAUUAAUAUCCAAUGUGAUUGAUACAUUUCGACUAAAUGGAUGGACUGUGACGCCCCGACCAAAAGUAAAGAGUGAUUGUGAUCGGUGCACAAGGCAUGGAUGAAAAGCGGUUCCUAGUAAUGCUUCGAUACGGAGGAUACAUGAAUGAAUCGAAACACACCAGAAAGAGAGGGAUUCCAUGAGUACGUACGCAGGUAUAUGACUGCAUAUUCGAGGAGCUUAAAUAAUUUUAUUGGUGUUACUCAUAUCAACAAGAUGCAUCUUCUUUUUUGGUGACCAUAUGAAAUAAACUCCAAGGUUAAGCGUGCUUGGCGUAGAGCAACUUGAUGAUUGGUGACCUCCCUAAGAAGUUUAUCAGAAAGCGUGCUAGUAAGAACAAAACAUGCUAGAAAAGACUCAUAUUAGUCUGUGGGGACAGCCGUUAAAUUUGGAUUCGGGUCUUUACAAGUGGCAUUAGAGAUUAACCUCUCACAGUAUGGUGCGGUUCGGGAACGAACCAAGCGGAAGUUGGUACUCAAUAUUCCAUCUAUUGUGAGUUUCUUUGUCUUCUUCAUCUUUCUUUUACUCUGCUGUCGAGUUUCAGAGAGUAAUCAGAUAGGUUUUCAUUCGAGUUGAGUUUCUUGAGUGAUAAACUGUUAAUUGUGAGUUUCAUUCGAUCAUUUGUUGAUUAUAAAUAUCUGCACAUGGAUAUUGGUCAAUUUAGAUACACUGAUCUUCAAAUUGAUUGACGAAUCUUUAGAAUUCAAAAUUUAAAUCAAAUACGCGUGUUCAUAGUUAAUUGGUAAGUACACUUUUUUUUNAUAUAAAUAUAAUUGACUCGAGAUCUCUGCUACUUACGCAUACUUCGCUCGAGACAAAAAUAAAUAAUUGAUCAUUGAGAACUCCGCUACCACACCAUACUCGUGUACUAUUUAUCAUUGUUUAUGAUUAUUAAUAAAGACGUGUCUUUGCCUGAUAAAUUUAAUUUUCAUACUCUUGAUUCUUUUUUGGCCAUAUCAUUUUUUAAAAAAUUGGGAGGGGAAUGGUGGAAAUUGAAUAUGAAAAAUACCAGUCAAAUGAUACAUGUGCACUUUCAAAGACAAAACAUAAAUGUAACCUUCGUUUGUAAAACAUAGAAAUUCUACCAUAUAUUUGUGAUUAUUUUACCUUUAUACGAUCUAUUUAUAUAUAUUUAUUAGAAUUAAUAAAAAUAUACUACAUUCGUCCACGAAAAAGAAUCUCAUUGUGUGCUGGAUGUGAGUCGUAUCGAGAGUGAGAGGGAACACAUUGUCUCCGGUCUCUGCCGUCUUGGCGAGAUCUUCGGCAUUGGCCUGAUCCGGCCGCUGAGGUGGCCGGUAGGUCAUCCAUGGAGUAUGGCUAUAUUCAUACUCGUAUCCCAUUUUGGUUGUAGAACAAGAAGGCGGUGUUGUUGAAAUCGUCGUCGUUGAUAUCCUUUGGAAAACCGGCUGGGAUAGUUUUCGCCAUUAGAGUGAUGUGCGUAGAAGAGAGGAUCUUCCGGCGGUCUUCGCGGAAACCGUUGUCGCGUGUCCAUAGUUCAUGGAUUGAAAAUAUGCAGGUAAAGCACCCGGCGUACUCGGCCAUACAAUUAACUCGCCAUCAUGAGCUAUAAUUCUAUUCGAGUAAGUUCAAUCUCUAAUGAAUUAAUAUAUUUUUAUAAAUAUAUAAUUUGCAAAAUAACCUUAAAAUAAAAUAUGUAAUAAGGGUAAAAUAGGCAAUCCACAUGUUGUGCUCAAUGCUCUUUUUAUAUUACUAGGAGAAAGAUAAUUAAUGUUAUUUUAUCUAAUAAAAUAAAAAAUAUAAAUAUAAUAUUUAUUAUAUUUAAAUUUUUAAUUAACAAUUUUGUUUAUUUAAUUCUCUUAUCUCUUACAAUAUUUUUUUUUAGAAAAUCUAUUAGUUCAUUACUUCGACUAAAUAUAAUUUAUUGGAUAGAUAUAUUUAUUUAUAAGCCUUAUCAAUAGCUAUAGAUAUAUAUUACAUAGAUUUAAUGUAAUAUUUAAUGAAUCAAUAGCUCUUUUCUUUUAUAUUAGUAUAGAUUAUAUAGAUAGAUAUAUAUAGUGCAUGCAUGAUAAUGUUGAUUGAUCAUCGUAACUAUAUAAUUUAUUGCACUAAUAAUGAAUCACGUUCCCACUCGAGGUAUAUAAAAUGAAUCAUGUGACCUUUUCUACUACCCGACACAUUUUGCUCCUUGGAAUAUUAUUUAUAAUUGUGUCUAUUGUAUAGUGCAUGCAUGAUAAUGUUGUUUAAUCAUCAUAAAUCUUCAUGGCUCAUCCACCUCAUCCAAUCGAAGCAUAUAAUGAACCAUGUGAUCAUAUCUACUACCUGACACAUUUUGCUUCUUGGAAUGCUAGCUAUAAUUGUAUCUAUUGUGUGAAUGUAAGCAAAAGGGCGCGCACAAUUUUUUAUUUUUUUUUGGAUAGGUGACUCGCUCAAAAUACCUAUUGAAUUGACUCGUAAUCGCACGAGGUCAUUCUAGCGUAGUAAGCUAACCCAUGUCGUAUCUCACAAGGAAGAUUAAGCAGGACGACUAAUUUUGGAUUAUUUUUAAUCAAAUGUUGGAUAUUUUUUAAUUAGAGUAAAAUUAAAAUAAGUAAAUUAUUGUAUAUUUUCAGAUUCGGAAACUAAUGGCUUUAUUUUAAUUUAAUCAUUUUCAUAUGUCAGUUAUAUUAUGUAAAUGACGUUUUUAGUAACAAACAAAUGACAUUUUAAUCAAUAAAUGAUACUUUUAUCAAUAAUAAAUGAAACCAUAUUAAGGUAAAUAGGGUAAAGGUUAGACUUAACUGUGAAAGCAUCAUGAGUUUUAUGUGUAACAUUUUCGGUGUGAAAAUUGAUGAGUUAAAAAAAAUGCUCCAUAUUGAAUUCGACAUUAGAUGAAUCUACAGUAGAUUUUCAUGCAUGAUCUAAGAGCUGAAAAUGAUUCACGGUCUAUAUUUAUUCUAUCAAAUUCCAUAUCACUUUAAAUCUCAAAUUACAUUUGCACUAUAUAUGAUUAUAUCCUAAAUUAUCAUAAAUAUGAACCGCUUAAAUCUGGCGUCGUUGCACCGCGGACAUCUUGCCGCUGCUUUCUCCCACCAUUGCCCUUGCUGCCCUCAUCUUAGGUGCCAAUUUUUUGCUCGUCGUGCAGAAUUUGAAAGGGGUAAAUUAUUUUUUCAAUUUUUUAUUGCAUUUUGCUGUCUAAGUUGAUUUCUCAAGUAAAGUGGACUUGGGUUUUGUUUCGAUUAUAGCUGAAUUCGAUGGCGCUGUGUGGUUAGAUCUGUAAUUUUGACGUGUUGUUGAAGUGUGCGGGAUUGAAUGUGAUCUGGGAGAAUUUAAGGGUUUUGGGACGUUAGUAUGAUGAUGGUGGGAUUUGAAUGAAUUUGAAUACCAGAUUAUGGUUGAUGUUUAAUUAUGUGAAUCUUGCGAUCUGUGUUGAAAUUAAUGUACAGUAUCUUCGCCUAGCCGGGGGUUCACCAUUUGGUUCCCGACCGUCCUGCUGCCUUCACUCCACACUCAAGUGCCAAUAUCUUCUUCUCGUUUCUCUUCCUUCUUCUUCUCCUCUUAGUACCUGCAAGACAGAAGGAAAAACCAGCAAGUAUAAAGAAAAAUCAGAAAACUUAAAGAAGUAAAGAAAGAAAGAAAACAAAGGAAACUCGAGGUGGGAAAAAGGUGUCCUCGGGACACAGGUGGCUCAGAUUUUUCCCACAGUGGCAACACACUCCGGCAGCUCAAAGACCACGGCACAAAGGGGAAGGGAAGUCAGAUCGGAGCUCAAAUCUGACGAGCACAGCCACCAAUAAUCAGGAAUCCGGUGGACAGGAUUCCGGCGGCUCAGAAAUCCUUCGCUUUAUCACCAAACAGGAAAUCUAAGGUCAGCAAUCCGACAAUAAUGCUAUCAACAGGAGGAAGCUCUCACUUUACGGCCACAACACCGGAAACCAGAACGGAAACCAGAGAACAGAAGGAAUAGCAGAGCCUUCAAGGUUGUGAACAUACUACAGAACUUCCCCCAAUCGAUUGCUUUAUAACCGAGACAGAGAAGGGUCGGGAAGAUGUAGUGGGCUUUGGGAAGGAGGAGGAAGCCAUUAAUGGUGGUGGAGCUCGAGGGAAAGCGAGAUCAGCAGUCGUGAAGACUUAGGGUUUGGGAGGGGAUUUGAGGUGGAGCGGCGGAGGUUGAAAUGAGGGAAAGGCCGAGUGAGAGAGGGAGUAUUUCAGUGGAUAAUGGGCUAGGGUAUUUUUGAGUUAACGGGCUAUAGGUGUCUGGGCCCAAAAGUUGGGCCAGAGAAGGGAUAAAGAGCAUUGGGCCAACAUUCCACAAUUAAGACAAUUAAGAGUAGAAAUUCUUCUUGAUUUGCUAAUUUAUUUAGGAUUAGCGAUAUUAGUUUGGAGUUUUAGAUGUCGAUUGAUUUCGUGAUCUUGAUUUAUGUGAUAAAUGCCUCUCAUCACUAAGAUUUGGAAUAUAUUGGAUAUCUAGGAUAGUGAUAUUAGUUUGGAGUUUUAGAUGUUGAUGUGUCUUUUUAGGCUGCGUUUACUUUGAUGGAUAAAUUUAUAUAUGGAAAAGGAUGGAUAACACAAAUUUAUGCUUUUAAAUGUCUCCUUCCUCUUCCAACAUUUGACACAAAAAGAGAUGCUCGCUAUUUUUUCUUCCUUAUCUUCACUUCAAGGAUGGAUAAUAUUAUCCCUCCAUUUUGGUGUGAUAAUAUUAUCCAUCAUUGAAGUGAAGAUAAGGAAGGAAAAAUAGUAGAGCAUCUCUUUUUGUGUCAAAUGUUGGAAAAGGAAAGAGACAUUUAAAGGCAUGAAUUUGUGUUAUUCAUCAUUUUCCAUAGAUAAAUUUAUCCAUCAAAGUAUACGAAGCCUUAUGUGAUAAAUGCUUUUUUAGGGGGGCCCACGGGCAUGCUGCCCCAUAUGCUAUGGAGUAUGGACCAUGGUGGCUCGGUCACUGCGCUCUCGAUUGCGAAUUAUUUUGCAUUAUCUUUGUUUGUUUUUCUUAUAUUGGGAAAGAAAACAUAGAGUAAUAUAUAUUUUAGAAGUCCAGUUACCAAUGUCGUCAAUCUCGAGUGAAAAUAAAUAUUACCAUAACACAAAAAUGACAAAGCUAUUGAUUAGUGACGAUAUGUUAGAAGUUCAGAUAAACAACACAUUUAUUCUUGUGUAUAUUAUAUUAACGUUUAUUAUAUAUUAUAAAAAGAACAUAUUCUUUCAAAAUUAUCUUGUCUAUUUUUAGAAGUUCAGAUAAACAACACAUUUUCAGAAGAAAUUUAAUAAUCUCUUACGAUUUACAUAUAAUUUUUAAAUAAUUAAUUAUCUCAGUGGUGAUAAAAUAAAAAAACGAAGUAAUUUAUUAUAUACAAAAUAUUAUGAUUUAUGUUUGUAUAUUAUUUGUUUCCAUUAGUGCAUUAUCAUUUCUAAGUAUCUUCUCACUUGUUCACUGAUUCACUAUUGGAUUAACAUGAAUAUACGAAUUUCAUAGUAUACCAACCGUUCGAUAAAAGUCCUCAAAGAAAUCUUCCAUAGAUAACCUUGCAAAAGUACGUGUAUCUAUAUUAAUAGAAUAAGAGCCUAAGGAAUCUUAAAACACAAUUUUUGGAUUGCCUAUUUUACCACUAUUAUAUAUUAUUUUAAAAUUAUUUUACAUAUUAUAUAUUAAUAGGAAUAUAUUAAUUCAUUAGAUAUUACACUAAAUCUAUGUGAUAUAUUUCUAUAGCUAUUGAUAAGGCUUAUAAAUAAAUAUAUAUCCAUCUAAUAAAUUAUCUAAUAAAAGUAAUGAAUUAAUAGAUUUUUUAAAAUAAUAAAUUAUCAAAUAAAAUAACAUUAAUUACACACGUACGUUCUUUCUGCUAGCUAGUUAAAUAAAAAGAAGAAGAAACUGAGACUGAAAAAGGGAGAAUUAAGAUAGUCCAUUAUUAUCGUCUUAUUUUUAGAACUUAAACGAGAGAAAAGUCCAUCGCUAGUCCUAAUUUACAACACAACACAACACAUGAUAAUAAAUUUAAAUCACACAUAUUGCCGGAUGUACCCUUCCUCCUCUUUGCCGGCGGCGGCAUGCACGAGGGUGGACGUGAAAUACCACGAGACGAUGUCGUGCACGGCGUCUUGGCCUCCGGUGGCCGCGGAGAUCCCGACCUGAACCUGCUGAGGAAGAAUGGCGCUCAGGUCGUACACAUAGCUCACCUCGUAUGUUUGCGAGCCGGCGGCGAGGCUCACGCUGAUCAGCUUAGUGGCUUCCAGGUAGUUGAUGCGCGCAGUCACCUGCUGCCCGAGCAACGCGUUGCCGACGUUGGUCACGUUUUUGGAAACAUUAGAUUCGAUGUCGAUCCCGAUAUGGCGAUAGCUAGGAUCCACUCCGGGGUUGGAGAAGACGUCGAAUUCCACGGCGAAGACGGCGGGGCCGACGCCGGAGGAGUUGAAGAUUCCGAAGCAGCCGCCGGUGAAGCCGAGGGGUAAGCCGACGGGGGCGAUGAAGAAGGUCACGCCGUCGGCGGGGUUCGUGUCGCCUGCGUUGGGGGUUACGGCGAACGUCAGGGUGGUCUCGAAGUCGACCUGCGCGCCGGCCUCCCAGAACGUGAUCGGGGCUGAGUACACGGCCCGGCCGACGCUGUACUGGACCGCGCUGCCGGAGCUGGUGGUGUUGGUCAUGCGGAGGAAGGUGGAGUCCGACGGGAAGUGGGCGUCGCCUUGGUAGAGGAGAUCGGUCGGCUGGUCGCCCCAGAAGUCGUACGUGAAGGCUGUCGAUUGGGACUGCAUGCGCCGUGUUGGCGGCGGUGGCGAGGAGGAGGGCGAUGGAGAUUAGGGUUUGGAGAAGCUUGGCCAUGGCUUAAUUGAGUUAGUAGUAUUUGCUUUGGAUGUGGUGUGAUGAUGGUGUAUUGGUGUUAACUCUUGCUCCUAUUUAUGCUAGUAUAGUGCUUGAAUGAAAAUGUUAUUUAAAUUAACAUCAUAUUUUUUAUUACACAAAAAUGACUCACCCCAUCUUCUCGAGAUUAACUGAACUUGUGAUCUCUAAUAAUUUAUAACCUACCACAUUGUAGUUGUUGGAGUAUACUCCCUCUGUCCCGGUUUUAGCACGAGUUUUAAUAAAUUGGUUGAUUGUAUUAUGAGUAGAAUAAGGAUAAUAUUUUUUAUGGAAGUGUUAAAAUAAUUAAAAUUGAGAAAAUGUUUCACCUAUUUUUAUUAAAAAUAGAAAUGAAUUUUAAAAUAUGGGACGACGGCCAGAAAAAGAAAAUAUAUAUGGAUACUAAAAGUUGGGACGGAGUGAGUAUUAUCUAUAGUGGUAUCUAUUGUAUGAGUACAAGAGAUUUACUUGACUUGUUGAGGUAUGGAGAGAUUAUUACAAACCACGUGAAAUUGAGUUCUUGCUCCCACUGUAAAAGCAAUAAAUAUAGGGAAAAGAAAAUUAAUACUUCCUUCGUCCAAGAAAUGAGUACACAUAUUUCUUUUUUAGUCCGUUCAUGAAAUGAGUACUCAUUAAUUUUUCUUUUUAUCAAGUGUACCUCACACAACCCUUUAAUUAAUUAAUACCUUUAAAAAGUGGGUCCCUUAUUCCACUAACACCACACUCAAUCAUUUCUUAAAACCUGUAACGUCCCCAAAUGAGAUUCAUUUCGUGGAUUGAGUAAAUUCUAUACUACAAAUUAAUGGUUCGAAUUCACUUUAAAAAAUAAACUACAAUUAAGAGUCCCUCUCUUAAUUGGAAUUCAUAGACCAUCUGCUUCAGUCGUGCCCGAAGACAGAAAAGGUUUGGAUUGGAAUUCAUAGGUGGCUAGGGAAUAAAAGCAGUGUGGCCUCAAUCAUUGAAGCACACUUCGAUUUGUUCACAAAUCUUGACAAAGGAAAGGAAGGUCGAUUUUUCUAGCGACAGUAUGGGUCUAUACCAUUUGGUUGCUGUGGAAAUGACGUAACGAGAGCAGAUUUGAGGGCAAGACUUGGGAGAUCAAUGACGUGAUCGAAGAAGUGAAAGUGAGGAUGUGGAGUUGGAACAAGAUUUUUGGACUACAUGUUAAAGAGAUUAGCUCUCAAUCUUGGUUUUCUUGUGAAACUCCUCUUGUUUUGUGUAAUUUGGUCGUAUCUCUGGUACCAAACUCUCUCCUAAUAAAAUUUCUUUUCUGAUUAAAAAAAAAAAAAAGAGUCCCUCUCUUAAUCAAGUAGACUGGAUGCGGUAAGAGAGAAAUCACUUCCAACUUAUCGAUUUUACUAGCAACAACUAGAUUUAUACUGAAGCUAAAUUGGAUCAGACUCUAGGAUUCACUAGUCUUUUACUCAAGGUGAGUCGGUUUACGAGUCUCAAACUCAAGGUGAACUAGAAUGUCUGUCAAUACGAACGUUGGGAGUUCGAGGGUUUUUUAGGACAGUAACUUAGAUUGAUUUGGAAAUUAGGACAAUAACUUUCGGACUUGUAAAAAUAGGACUCUAAUUCUUUUUAAGAGUAAAAUAGGACACUAAUUAAUAAGUGUUACAUCCGCAGGACAUUUUUCGGCCAAUUAUCGGCCGAGAAAUGUCCUACUUUUACGACGCUUAUUAAUUAGUGUCCUAUUUUUACAAAUUCGAAAGUUUUGUCUUAAUUUUCAAAUCAACAUAAGUUAUUGUCCUAAAAAAUCCCCUGACUCCGAACGUUGGAACAAGCUCGGCAAUAUACUGCUAUUCAACAUUAAUGGCACUUUGCACUAAAUGAAUUGGUGUCGAAUUAAUACAUCGUCUUGCUGCUCAUAUCUAUAUAAUAAAUGCAUACCUGCACCUCGAUAUUAAUCAAUUUAGAUACACUAAAUCUCGGAUAUACUUAACAAAUGGAUUAAUAAAUGUAUAAAUUUUAGAUUUCAGAAAAUCAAAUACAGGUGUUCAUAAGGAAAUGAUUAAAAACCCGUGUGUCAUUUAGAUAAGAUUAUUAUAGUACAGUUAACGAUGGUGAAAUAUUCUUUUACAUUAGAUAUAAUAGCAUUCCAGAUCUCAAUGGCAUUUUUUGUUAUAACAAAAAAAAAUUGUAUAUGUUCCAUACUAUCCUCAAACUUCAAAUUAUUAUUUUUCUUUAUUUUAAAAUUUGUAUUGGCACAUAUCUGUCAAUUAAUCAAAUUCAUAUCAAAACAAUAAUUCGAAUGAUAUAUUAGUUGGCUAGCUAUAAAUUACAAAUUAUUAGUGAUUAGGCAUGUUUUACACAAAUUAUUAGCCCAAACAACAUUUGAUUGUGUGCAAUGCACACACUUACUAAAAGCAGAUGUGAUCAUCUGUCCCACAAUUUAGUGUGUAUCACCGUGUACCAUUCUUAAUUUGUCUAUUUUAUAAUUAUUUGUUGUAAAAAUAAAAAAAAUAUUGUUAUAUUAUGAACUCUAAUUAAAAUUUAUAACUAAAAAUAAAAAUUAAAAAAAAUUAUAUACCCUAACUUUGAAUUAAUUAACCCAAAUAAUCAAUUAUUAAUUCAAAUAAAUAUAAAAAAUAAUUAUAAACUCUAAUUGAAUGAGUGAACCCUUAUUAAUUAGUUUCUUAUUAUAUUAUAAUAAAUUAAAAUUGAAGAAAAUAUAAUUAUAUAUUAUAAUAAAUUAAGAGUGGUACACGGUGGUACACACUAAAUUGUGGGACAGAUCCAUGUGCACUAAAUUAUAGGUACGGAGGUGCGGAUGCGGGGGCGAUACGAUACGAGUACGGGGAUACGGGUUCUAAAAAAUUAUAGGGUGCGAUUCGGCAAGGAUACAUCUAAUUAUUAAAAUUUUAUGAUAUACUAAUUGUUAGAAAUGGAUAUUGGGCCAAUUCCUCCCUUAAAAGGCCUUAUAAGGGAGAGGGUUACCUCACCAUAUAAAGUGGCUCAUGCCACUAUCUCCAAUCCAAUGUGGGACACUUCAAUACUAAUGCUUAUAAAAUAUAUACAAUUUAAAUUUUCUUAAAUUAAUUAUAUGUAAUUUACAUUUUAUUUUACCCAAAAGUUAAGCAUUUUCAAUUAUAUAAGUUAAUUGAGCAACAAUAUAACGAUUCAAAUAUUAUUAGUCCAAUAUAUAAGUCAUAACUGAAAAUAAAAUUAUCAAAAUAACCUUGUGUAGGCCUUUCGUGCACGAGAUACGUGAAUUUCGCCUAUGGAAUUUGCAAAUCCGGUUUAUUUUUAUAAAUUGUUUUAAAAGAUACGCACUGGUGAAUCGGUGCGAAUCCGACAAGAAUUCGAGAAAUCACACCCUAAAAGAAUCCGAUUCGCCGUACAUCUAAUUUUUGAAGAAUCCGUGCAUCAUAGGUGAGAAGAAACACAAGAGAGUAAAAUGGUACAUAAUGUAGAAAGACUUUUCUCCAAAAUAAAUGUUACAGUCUUCUAAUAGUCGAAAGGCGCAUGAAAAUGCGCAGUUAUUCGAAAGAAAGGAAAGGCUUAUUCAGCCACACAAUGACAUGGAAUUCGAAUUGAAAUUGAAAUUCAGACAAAUCCCAAACACGGUGAUGCAGAGAUCAAGCGGUAACACGAGGAAUGAUCUUAAUACCACCGAUGGUAACUUCGUCGCCGUUAAUGUGGGGAACGAUGGUGACGACAAUGAAAUCAUCAUCAGCAAUAUUGAUGUUCUCAUAGAGCUCCCUCAAGUUCAAGCGAAGGUCGUUGGCGCUUUCCGCAGCCCUAACCCUAUGCGGAAUCUGCGUGAAACUGCCGGCGAACUCGGCCCUGGCGAGGUCCUCUGGCUUGUCGUCUUCGUCAUUCACGAACACAUCGAACCUCACGAGCUUCGAACUAUCGGUGAUUAUGUUCUCCAGCACGAGCACUUCGUCGGCUUUGCCUUUGGUUGGUUUGGGCACCAAAACCCUGUGAGUCUUGUUGAGAGUGAGAGGGAACAGAUUGUCUCCACUCUCUGCCCUCUUGGAGAGAUCUUCGAUAUUCACCGGCACCUCCCUCCGCGGUGGCCGGUAGGCUGUCCACGGAGUUUCGCUGUGUUCAUACACGUAUCCCAUUUUGGUGUGGUCCAAGCAGUCGGCCACCUUGACGCGCACGAGGUUCUUCUUCUCGUCGUAGAACAUGAACGCCGCGUUGUUGAAAUCGUCGGGGUUGGGGACGACGAGGUCGUUGAUAUCCUUGGGGAAAACGGAUGGGAUAGUUUUCCAUAUGGUCCACAUUCUGUCGACGUUAGCGUGAUGUGCGUAGAAGAGAGGGUCUCUUCCGGCGGAGUAGAAGUUCCCCAUGUCUUCGCGGAAAUCGUUGGCGGGGUUUCCGGUCCAGACGUGGACGCCGCCGUGUGAGCCGCCCUCCGACAAUCCUCCCUUGGCGCGUGGCGGGGGCAAGUCCCCGGAAACGUAAGGAUCGCCCAUGAAGUCGAUGGCGGAUUCGACAUCACCAAUCAUUUCCUUGUACAUCUGAGUGAGAUUGUUUUCGAUGAUCGUUACAGGAUCGGUGAUCGGGGGGGUGGUUAUGGCAAGAGCAACGAGGGCCGGGGGGCGAUGCGUUGGGUCGCGGUUGACGUCGUAGAGCGGGGAUUCUUCCCUGUCGAACGGCCUGGGCAUCUGCAUACCCCUAGGGUUGUCCCAGUUCCAGUAGGGCAGGGCGAAAUCGGGAUCUCCGAUGAGUUCGCCCAUGAUCCUCUCGAAGAAAUAGAGGUACCACCUGUGGAAGGGGUGGAUCCAGAAUUUGUCAUUAGGAGGGACUAAAUUUGUUGAAGCAUGACGUCUCAAAUUAUUAGCCAAUUUUUUUUAGCAUUCCAUACAGUUCAUUUUUUUGUCGAACUACAUUCGAUUAAUUCAACAACAAGAACAUUGAAAGCAUAUAAAUACUUACCUCUCAAAAAUUGUUUCAUCUUCUAAGAAGAUAAGCUAAUUUUCAUCAUGGCAGUUCAUAAUUUUAAUUUAACUUGAGGAUUGACUCAAAUUCAACACUGAGAAUCAACUAAGAAAGGAAAGUAGACAAAAAUAACAUAAAUUUAACAAACUAACAUAUCAAAUUUAAAUCACUAUAAAAUAUUAAACAGUUAAAACGUGGAUACUAUAAUUAAUAAAACAAUGUAUUUUAUUAUCUCUUGUAUUUCUUAUCUAUACUAAUAGAAAAAGAGUCUAAGACAGUCUAAGGCACAACUUGUGGAUUGCCUAUUUUACCCUUAUUAUAUAUUUAUUAUUAUAUUUACAAAAUAUAAAUCUAUUUUGAUAAAUAUUUAUUUGUCACUCAAAUCUAUAAAGAAUACUUUAUAUCUAUAGCUAUUGAUAAGGCUUAUAAAUAAAUAUAUUCAUCCACAACGUACGUUCUUUCUGCUAGUAUAUAAUAAAAACAAAAACAAAAAACUCAAAAUUUGGGAGGCGGUCGAUCCGCUGCUAACCUGUGGAAAGGGAAGAAGAUCCAUGAGUUGUGAACCUGGAUAUCGAUGCCGGGGUGGUCCACCUGGUCGUAGGGGCCGUUGCAGUAAGCGCAGUGGAUGUUGGCCUGCUGAGUGAAGCCACGGGGAUCGUCGGGGUCCGUCACGUCCAGUUCCUUCAUCUUCUGGAUGGCCAACUCAUACUUGCGUACGUAUUCCGGUGUCAGCCUGUGCGCCGCCGGCCUAACGCGAGGUUUAGUGAACCUCGGAAGCUUGUAGUCGCUCUGAACGUCGGUGUAGGGCGGGCAGCAGUUGACGUCUAGAGAUAUUACCUCUUGGUUUCGAGUGGUGUAGGCACCUUCGGGGUCGCAGGUGCUCAGGUCAGGAGGCAAAAUCGGAAGCGCCUCAGCUUUGCGGAUGGCGCUGCCUGCGCCGUAUAGACCGCCCAGCCCAAGCAGCAUGUUUCUGCGGUCUAUACGGCCGCUGCCACCGCCACCGCUGCUGCAUGACACCUGAAAGCGGCCGUGGCUCCGCCGGCUGCUGAGCUGGGAGGGCUUGCGAAAUGGGGAGUUGGUGGCGGCGGCGAUCGCCGUGAAUGAAGAUUGAAGGGAAGCCAUGUUUGAGUGAUUGAUUGAUGGUCGUUGUGAUUACCUGGGGAGGCAUGUCUUUAUAUAGCAGAUGUGACACGAGUUUUAAGAAAAAUAAAUUAUCCGUUGAAUAAUUAAAUCGCCAUGUUUCUAUAAUUUAUUCCUAAUGGAUCUAGUCAAACUAAUCGUGCAAUAUUUAAUAAACCACGCAGCAUCAUUUCCGAGACUAAUAAAUGACAUUUUGAACCAGCUAAUCAAUUCCAUAUAAUUAACCAUUUGCGAGGCUGGCUGCCCUUCACUAAAUGGUUGUAUGCACUUGUCUUUGGAAAAGCUGUUUGGCCAUAUUAUGGCCAGUCAUAAUAUGGGAAAAUAUUAUAAAAGUCAUGUAUUUAAUUUUUUAUAUUUAAAAUAAAAAUAGGAUUUUAUUAGUUUUAUUUUUUAUUACAUAUUUUAGCUAUUUUUUUUUAUAAUUUUUCUGAAUUUUUUAGAAAAAUAAAAAAUAAAAUUACAAUGUGAACAAAAUUAUAAAACUAAUAAUGGUAGAGCAGCGGAGGGCACAGGUGAAGGGCAUGGCGGCGGUGUACUUAUUUUAGUCAAGUAAUUAUUAUUGCACGAAAAAAUAAUUAUUAAUAUAAAGAAAGAUAAUGUUUCAAAGACAUUAUCUUUCUUCAUGUCUAUUAAUUUUUCAUCACAAUAAUAAUUACUUCGAAUUAUCCGUGUUUUCAAUCGUGCGACCUGCACCCAGCCCGACCCGACCCGUUUCACCCAUAUAGUCAGUCUCACCCAAGUUUUUGCCUAAAGAUAAGUAUUAAUUAGUUGUGUAUGGUGAUAUGAGUCUUGUUUGUAUAAAUUAGUAGGCCUUUAAUAAUGAAUUGGCCCAUCUCAGGUGGUUUAUAUAAUUUACUCGUAUGGAUCUAAAUACAACUAAUCAUGAAAUAUUUAAUAUACCACGGAGCAUCUUUCUGAUAUACUAUUUAUAUAGUAAUUUAUUCCUAAUGGAUCUAAUCUCUGACUAUUUAAUAAUUAACUCGCCAUCGUUUAAAUAAUUUACUCCUUAUGGAUACACUCAAAGUAAUCGUGCAAUAUUUAAUAUACCACGCAGCAUCAUUUCUCAUACAAUAUUUUGGACCAUCUAACCAAUUACAUAUAAUUAAACCUUUUGCCAGGGUGGCUGUCCCUUCCACUAUAUGGUUGCAUGUAUUGAAUUGAAAUUUUAUUGAGGAAAAAAUGAAAAGAAAAACUAGGAAUUCAUUGAUAGCACGAAGACGCUAAUUAAGGGCUGAGCCUCAUCAAAACCUUUCCGAUAAAAAUCCAGUGAAAAAAACCACCAGCAAAGGAAAAAGAGUACCAGUCUAUUACAAUAAAAAAAUGAAGAACAAACUCAAGACAGGAACAACGAGAAGCACGAGAGGAUGAUAAAACAUCUAACCCGAAAAAAAAGACCCAAACCAAAGGAGCCUGACAAAUCCGGAGCCAGUACCAGCGCACCAGGAAACUGAAAAAGUUCUGGAGAAGCCACUUCGACCCAAGCACGCCAACCAUCCAAAAGAAACGACUACCACACCCACACCUAGGCCAAGAAAUAUAUAAUAUUGUGAAUAGUUCCCAUGGGAUCGAAACAGACCACCAAAACAAGAAAAAACCUCUAAGAGCAGACUACUCAUUGCCUGCCUGCCUAGUAUUCGAUGAAAUACCCAAACCAGAAAUCAUAGCAUAAAGCAAAAACCGCCACAGCUGGGGAGCGAAGAGCAGAAGGCCACCAAUAAGAUACAUUAGGAUUGCGCAAAGUCUGACAAAGAAAUCAGAAAACUUACCAGACCACUCUAGUUAAUGUAAUCUAUACAUGUCCGCACAUGAAAUUUGGUCAAGUUAGAUACACUAAUCUCAAAUCUAUUUAAUUAACAAAUUGAUUGAUUGAUAUUUUUUUCUGAGAGAAAUUGAUUGAAUAAUUUUUAGACUUCAAAAACUAAUAGUUAAUUGAUUGUUUAGAUAAGAUUAUUAUUACACUUUUAUAUAGAGAUAAUUAGUACUUGAGAUAUGUGCAAUUUACGCAUUCUUCUCUCGAGACAAAAUAAAUAUUAUUGACCAUUGAGAACUCUGCUACCACUACUCCAGUUCUAUUUAUUAUCAGUGUGCCCUCUCGCGCGCUGCACGGGUCACAACAUAUUUGAUUAUUUAAUUUUAGCUGUUUACGCAUACUUCGCUCGAGACAAAAAUAAAAUAAGAUUUAUUGAUCAUUGAGAACUCAGUACCACACCAUACUCGUGUAUACUAUAAUAUUUAUCAUUGUUUAUGAUUAUUACGUGUCUUCGCCGAUAAAUUUAAUAUUCAUUCCUUUAAUUUUUUUCUAUUGACAUUGGAAACUGUCUUGAUUCUUUUUUGGCCAUAUCAUAUAUUUAAAAAAUUGGGAGGGGAACGUGGAAGUUGAAUCUGAAAUAAGAAUCAAAUGAUACAUGUGUACUUUCAAAGAUAAAACGCAAAAUAUAUCAUUUUUUUGUAAAACAUAUAAAUUCUACUAUUUAUGAUUAUUUUAAAUUUAUAUAAUCUAUAUUUGUAUGUAUAUAUAUUCUCCAUUUGUUCAUGAAAAAGAGUCUCAUUGUAUGCUGAAUACGAGUUUUAAUAAAAUGGUUGUAAGUGUGAAAUAAAUGUAUAAUUUGUAAGAGUCUUUACAUUAGAUUAUAUUUUACUCUCUUCGUCCUAUUGAUAAUGACUCACUUUUCUUUUUCGUCUGUCUCAUUGAUAAUUGCAUGUUCCAAAAAAACUGAAACCAUUUGACCUCACAAAAUGUUGUGGGCUCCACUACUUUUUAUCACUUUUAUCCUUUAAUUACUAUUCUUAUUAAUAACCGUGUCGAACAGUAAUGAACUAUUAUCAAUGGGAGGGAGGGAGUAAUAUUUUAAUUUUGUUUGCUGCCACCACCACCACCACCACCACAAUUUAAAAAAAAAAAUCUACGUGAAUAUAGUAAUUAUUAGAACAAAAAAAUAACUAUAAUAAUAAUAUAUUAAUCCGUUAAUUAUCUAUACUAAUAUAAAAAGUGCAUUUGGCACAAAAUAUAUAUUGCCUGUUAUAUCCCUAUUAUAGUAUUUUAUUUGAAGGACAACUUUGUAAAUUAUAUAUUAUAUAUUUAUAAGAAUAUAUUAUUUCAUUAGAUAUUACACUAAAUAUAUUUGAUAUAUAUCUAGAUCUUAUGCUAUAAUUUUUUUUAUAUUAAUUAAUUAUUAUAUAUUGUGAUUUAAUAGAAUUAUACAACUCUAAUAAUUUAUAAAUGUAAAGUUCAGGGAUUGCAUGCAAUGCACACAUUCUAUGCUAGAAAAAAAAUAGAAUUCACUAAGCCGAUGAUAAAUAACACAUACAACGUACUAUUUCUGCUAGUAAAUUAAAAAUCUAUAUGAUUUUAUCUUCUAUCACUACAUUAAUUAAAAUCUAUCUUCCGUUUCAUAUUAACGGUGGUUUUUCAAUAUUUUUUAUAUUAAUUACUACAUAUUGUGAAUUUAUUACAAUUGUUAACCUCUAACAAUUCAUUAAUAUAAAGUUGAUGGAUUGUGUGUCAUGCACAAACUCUCCUGUACUCAUCUAAAAGACUCUAUAUGUGAGAAGAAACCGCAGGAGAGUAAAAUGGUACAUAACAUAGAAUAGAAAGACUUUCACAAAAUAAAUGUUACAUUCUUCCCGUAGUCGGAAGGAGCAUGAAAAUGCGCGGUUAUUCGCAAGAAAGAAAGGCUCACUCAGCCACACAAAACAUGGAAAUCCUAAACACGGUGAUGCAGAGAUCAAGCGGUAACACGCGGGAUGAUCUUAAUACCACCGAUGGUAACAUCGUCGCCAUUAAUGUGGGGAACGAUAGUGACGACAAUGAAAUCAUCAUCAGCAAUAUUAAUGUUCUCAUAGAGUUCCUUCAGGUUCAAGUGAAGGUCGUUGGAGCUUUCCGUGGCCCUAACCCUGUGCGGAAUCUGCGUGAAGCACCCGGCGUACUCGGCCCUAUCGAGCUUCUGUGGCGUGUCGUCUGCAUCAUUCACGAACACAUCGAACCUCACGAGCUUCAAGCUAUCGCAGAUUAUGUCCUCCAGCACCAGCACUUCGUCGGCUUUGCCUUUGGUUGGUUUGGGCACCACAACCCUAUGAGGCUUAUUGAGAGUGAGAGGGAACACAUUGUCUCCGGUCUCCGCCGUCUUGGCGAGAUCUUCGGUAUUGACCGGUUCCGGCCGCUGAGGUGGCCGGCAGGUCAUCCAUGGUGUAUGGCUAUAUUCAUACUCGUAUCCCAUUUUUGUGUGGUCCAAGCAGUCGGCGACCUUAACGCGCACCAGCUUCCUCUUCUCGUUGUAGAACAUGAAGGAGGCGUUGUUGAAGUCGUCGGGGUUGGGGACGACGAGCUCGUUGAUAUCCUUCGGGAAAACGGAUGGGAUCGUUUUCCAUAUAGUCCACAUUCUGUCGACGUUAGCGUGAUGUGCGUAGAAGAGAGGGUCUCUUCCGGCGGAGUAGAAGUUCCCCAUGUCUUCGCGGAAAUUGUUGGCGGGGUUUCCGGUCCAGACAGCCGCCCUCCGACAAUCCUCCCUUGGAGCGUGGCGGGGGCAAGUCUCCGUCAACGUAAGGCUCGCCCAUGAAGUUGGUAGCGGAUUCGACAUCACCAACCAUUUCCUUGUACAGCUGAUUGAGGUUGUUGGAGAUGAUCUGUACGGGAUCGGUGAUCGGGGGGUUGGUUAGGGCAAGAGAAACGAUGGCCGGGGGCCGAUGCGUCGGGUCGCGGUUGACGUCGUAGAGUGGCGACGCGUCCCUGUCGAACAUCGAGGGCAUCUGCAUGCCCCUAGGGUUGUCCCAGUUCCAGUAGGGCAGGGCGAAAUCGAGAUCUCCGAUGAAUUCGCCCAUGAUUCUCUCGAAGAAAUAGAGGUACCACCUGUGUAGGGAUGAAUCCAGAAUUUGUCGUUAGGGGGGCUAAAUCUAAAAGUAUUUGCAGUGGGGGCUCCCGUCCGCAAGACAAUUUUUUUUAACCAUUCCGUAUAGAUUUAAUUGGCUUAACAUUAGAAAUCAGUCACUUACUAUAAAAAAUAGUUGUUCGCAUUCCAUUAAUUCAACAACAAGUACAUUUAAAGCAUAUACAAACCUACCUCUGUGCAAUUUUUUAAAAUAUUAUUUCGACUUCUAAAAGAAUAAACUAAUUUUCAUUGUUAAUUAAUAGUUCAAAAUUUUAGUUUAUCUUGAAGAUUAACUCAAAUUAAAUAUUCAAUAUUACCUAAUUAAACAAAAAUGAGACAAAAAUAACACAAAUUUUUAACAAACUAACCUAGCAAAUCACUGUAAAAUGUUAAGCAAUUCUUUCUUGUAUUUCUUCUAUAUAUUAAAAACAAAAAAAUUAGGGAGGGGGCUUCAGCCCCCGUGGAUCCGCCACUAACCUGUGGAAGGGGAAGAAGAUCCAUGAGUUGUGAACCUGGAUAUCGAUGCCGGGGUGGUCCACCUGGUCGUAGGGGCCGUUGCAGUAAGCGCAGUGGACGUUGGCCUGCUGAGUGAAGCCGCGGGGAUCGUUGGGGUCCGUCACGUCCAGAUCCUUCAUCAUCUGGAUGGCUUUCUCGUACUUGGCUAUGUAUUCCGGUGUCAGCCUGUGCGCCGCCGGCCUCCUGCGAAGCUUUGUGAACGUCGGAAGCGUGUACUCUUCCUCGUCGUCCGUGUAGGGCGGGCAGCAGUUGGCGUCUAGAGAUAUUAUCUCCCCGUUUCUAGAAGUAUAGGCACCUUUGGGAUCACACUUGCUCAGGUCAGGAGGUGAAAUCGGAACCGCCUCAGCUUUGCGGAUGAGGCCGCUUGCGCCGUAUAGACCACCCAGACCAAGCAGCAUGUUUCUGCGGUCUACACGGCCGCCGCCGCCUCCAUCACUGCUGCACGACACCUCAAAGCGGCGCCUCCGCCUGCUGGCGAGCUGGGAGGUGGUGCGGAGGUUGGGGUUGGUCGUGGUCGCCAUCACCAUGAAUGAAGAUUGAAGGGAAGCCAUGCUUGAUUGAUUGAUGCUUGCAUUGCGCUCGAGGCAUGCAUGUCUAUAUAUAGUAGGCGUGGACACGAGUUUUAAGAAAAAUAAUGAUACUUAAUGGGAUUAUUUUCGAAAAUGAAUUAGGAAGAUGUUUUGGAGACGAAAAUAGAAAAUUGACCUUUUGCCAGGCUGCCCUUUCACUAAAUGGUUGUAUGCACUUAUCUUUUUUUUAUCUAUAAAGAGGUAUUUUCUCCAUUUAAAAAACUUAUCGAGGUAAUUAUGAAGACUAUUCAUUUUUAUCGUUGUAAAGUUAAUUAAAUUAUAAAAAUUAAAGUUGAUAAAGUUCUUAUUAAACAUCAUCGCUCUUCUGUCUUUGGACGACAAAAUUAAUUAUUUCAAAUAGAUAAAGAACUUGAUUUUCCGAUAUGGCUUCUCAUACUAAUUAAAUAAUCUAAUCCUAUAAUGUAUUUCAUAUAAAGUUAUCAAAUUAACAAUAUUCUGUGUGAAUUUUUUUGCCUUGAGUGUGUGUAUAGAGGUAGUCAGGGCCGGCCCUGAGGGUGGGCGGGCAUGGGCGACGGCCCAGGGCCCCAAAAAUUUGAGGGCCCAAAAUUUUUAAUAUAUCCUAUUAAUUAUAGAUCUUAUGUAUACUAACAACAUAGUUCAUCUAUUGAUUUUGGGCCCAACAUAAUUUAUUCUCAAAUUUAGAUCUAUACUUAAUAUAGAGAGUUUUCAAUUUGAAAUCAAUUUCAAAGUAAUUUCAAAAUUGAGUGACUAUUUUGUAGUUAUAAUAUUAAUAAAAUUGAAGGUUUAUGUUUAAACUAUAUAUUUUUAUUUUUAUUUUUAUUUUCAUUUUCAUUUUCUUUAACUUCUUAUUUGUUGUUACAUUUCUUUCCAAAAUUGUGAAAUUCAAUUAAUUAUAAAAUAUUUAAUAUGCAUAUCAAAUUAAAGAUCACAAUAAGAGUUUUAAUAUGAUAUAUUUUAUGAAAAAUAUUUGAUUUAAAAUGUAAAAUUUAUGCAUGUUCAAAUAUUAAAGUUUUAUAAAUUUCUCUCACCUCUCUCAUCUUUACGAAUAAAUAUAUUUUUAAUUCUUUUAAAUUAGUAUUUUAUUUUUAAUUUUUUUAACUUAUUUUUUUGUUUUUGUAUUUCAUAAUAUCAAAUUUUAUAAUUGUGAAUUCUUUUUUUAUUUUUUUUAAUAUUCAAUUCAAAUAUAUAUAAUUAAAAUUAAUUUUUUAUUAUAUUUAUAAGUAUAAUAAUUAAAUUAGUAUUAAUUUUAUAUAAAUAGUAAAAACAAAAAAUAUUUCCCGUGCAUGAGAUGCAAAUGGUAGUUGCACCUCGCCGCCGGUAAUAUAUUUAAGUAUAUAAAUUAAUUAAUAUUAACAAGGCGCCCGGUGAUCACCGGAGGCAUCCUUGCCGCUGGUAUUUCUGCCGCUACUUUGAAAAAUACGGCCGUCGGUAAAUCUGGCCGCAAAUUGUGUACGUUUUUUGGUAGUGGUAAUAUAUUAGGGCCCAAUUUUUUAAUUUCGCCCAGGGCCUCAGUUUUGUCAGGACCGGCCCUGGAGGUAGUUAUAGAAUUUAUCUUUUGUGUUCUCAAAGGAACUUAAUUAAGAUCCAAUGUGAUUGAUACAUUUCGACUAAAUGGAUGGGCAAGAUUCUUUUAACGCCCAAUAUUAAUUCCAUCUCAAAUCGGAUCUUAUAUAAUACUGUAUUUUAUAUAUUCUAUAAUGCAUUUUAUAUAUUACGUGUCUAUUAAAUUAACAUUGAUCUUAGGAGUGAUACAAGUUUAAAAAAAAGCUAGCUGUAUAUUUGGUGAGUAGAGAAGGGAUUUCAGAAAUUAGAAAAAAUGGUGAUAGGUAGUGGAAUUAUUUUAAAAAAUGGACUAAAAAGAUGUUUCAUGAACGAACGAAAAUGGCAAAAUAGGAAGAUGAGUCGUGGUCGGAGGAAAUAUUAUAAUGCAUCGUAUCCUUUUUUGGUUCGUAUAAAGAUUUUUAUUUGAUCCUCAUCGAGAACAUGCAUAUUGCGAAUACUUAAUUUAUUUCAAUAUAUAUAUAUUAAUUUAUUGGGAGCAUAUGCUAAAUAAAUUAAAUUAAUCCGAAUCAAAAGCGCUUAAUUAUCACUACAUUACAUGCAUUAUGACAAAAAGCCUGCGGCUAAAGAUCUUCAGUUUAAGUCUAUUGUCAUAUUGUUUUUAAAAUAUUAUUUAUCCAUUCCGCAUAUGGAUUGGUCAGAUUUAGAUACACAAAUCUCAAAUGUAUUUAAUUAACAAAUUGAUUGAUAAAUUUUAGAAUUCAAAAAUUAAAUCAAUCAAAUACGCGUGUCCACAGUCAAUGGAUUGAAAAUAUGCAGGUAUCUAGAUAAGAUAUAUUAUUAUUAUUAUUACACUGUUAACUAUACUGCAGUACACUUUUAUAUAUACAGACAUAAUUAAAAUAUGCAGGUAUCUAGAUAAUAAGAUUAUUAUUACACUAUUAACUAUACUGCAGUACACUUUUAUAUAGAGAUAAUUACUAGAGAUAUGUGCUAUUACCCAUACUUCGCUCGAGACAGAAAUAAAUACGAUUGACCAUUCAAUUAAACACUACGACACCAUACUCGUGCAUGUACUAACGAUCUUAUUAUAAGUGCACCUUCCCGUGCGAUGCACAGGUCAGUAGAAUUGUAAUCGAUAUUGAUGUGAAUAUCAUCAUAUUCGAUUCGUAUUUGUGAAAAUACUCUAAUAUUUGAUUCAGCAUUCGAUUCGAUCACGAAUACUAAAUACGAUCCCAUAUUCGAUUCGAUGUUAUUUUUGAAUUAUUUGAUACAUUUUUUAAAAUUAAUUAAAUAAUUUUUUUACGAAUAUUCGAUUCGUUUUCCAUCAUAUUCAAUUCAAAACUAUUCGAUUUGAAAUUCUGAAGGAAAAAAUAUGUUAAAUAAUAUUCUAAAAAAUAUAGGAUUAUAUCCAAUAUAUUUACCUAAUAAUUAAACACACAAUAAUAAAGUGUUCAAUUCAUAUUGUUUUAUGUCCCGUGGUUUGUUUCUAGGAUUGUGGUAAUAAAGACUGAUUGGAUCAGUCUAGUACAGUUGUUGUUUGAAUUUGUAAUUUUGUGUAACGGCAUUGUCAUCUUGUUGAGAUUAAUAGGAGUUAAUUUGUUUAAUUAAUUAUUCAUGAGUUUCUUAUAAGAUACCUUCCUUCGUUCCGUAAAAAUAGUCAUAAUUUUUCAUUUUAGAACGUCCAUAAAAAAAUAGUGUUAUUCCAUUUAUAAACAAUUUAGAUCCUUACCUUUGGGAUGAGAUAAAAUGAAAUUCCAUUUUAAAUCAUAAACUAGCUAUAUAGGAAGCAUUUUCAGCUCUUGAAUUCAUCUGUUGUUCGAAUUUCAUAGGAAGCAAGUUUUUUUGACUCAUUAUUUUCACAGCGAAUUCAUCAUGUUACACAUACCCUAAAGUGAUAUAUUUACCCUAUUUGAUAACAUGAUAAGUAUAUUUGAAGCGCUCACUAUUUUAUUUGAACUUUAUUAUCGAGUUUAAACGAGUUUUGAAAUAUUGAAUUAAAUUGAAAUAUCCAUGUUGAUCGUUUAAGAAGCAAAUUUUUGGCAUGGGUUUAUAAAAAAUACAUCCUAGCCUCCAUCCCUAAUAAGUGCGGUGUGAAGGAGUGGGCAAUAGUUCUUUAAAAAUAAUUGAGAGAUGUGUAUAAAGUGGAUAAAAUGGCUUACUAGAGCUGAUUUGUUAGGCCUUACUUUCUCUCUGCCCCACUAAAAUAAGCUCAAUUCUUUUGAGAACAUAGAUUAAUAAACUUUCUUUUGAGAAGAAAAUUAAAGUGGUGGCAAAAGUAAUGUGGUCCAUACCAAUUAAGCAAUUUGAGUACAUUUUUUUUUUCACUCAAAAGGAAAACGAGCCUAUUCUAGCGGGACAUUCCAAAAUAGAAAACGAGCAUAUUCUGCUGGGACGAGGGAAUAAUAAAUUGUUUGUGAGAUGAGUAGUUUGUAAAUAUUGUGUGUGAAAGGUGUAUGUCUUAAAUUGAAAAGACCAUACCUGUAUUGUGAUUGUACGGAAAGGUGGAACUGAGCAUCGCGGCGGCGGCGAGGCAGGAGGCGGCGGUGGUGAGGAGAAUCGAGAGAGAGAGAGAAAGAUGCCAGCAGACAGUGACGGAGGGCAGUGGGCGGCCCUUGGCGGCAGCGGAGACGACAAGGUACUGGCUGUGCCAGAAUUAUUUAGUUGCAUAGGAUCCUUCCAAAUGUAAUUACUGAUUCACUGUUGGAUUAACAAGAAUUAAAUUACUUCAUAAUACAGUAUUCCAACUGUUCGAUAAAAGCCCUUAAUGAAAUCUUCCAUAGAUUACUUUGCAAAGUUCAUAAAAUUACUCAAAAGCAUUGUUGCAUAGUCCGUACAUAGAGAUGGUCGAUUAUCUUAAUUAUGUCUAGAUUUAUUUACGACACACACACACACACAUCACAAAAUCACACAUACUGACUAAUAAGGUUCCCGAAAGCCGGCAUUAUUAGGCGCCAUGGUGGCCGUGAAAUACCAUGAGACGAUAUCAUGGGUGGUGGGUCCGUCUAGUCUGGUGGCGGCGGAGAGCCCUACCUGAACCUGCUAAGGAAGAAAGCCGCUCAAAUCAUACUCAUAGCUGACUUCAAACGUCUUCGAGCCGGCGGUGGCACGGACGGCGAUCUACUUUGUGGAGGCGGCGUAGUUGAUCCUCGCCGUCACCUGCUGCUCGAGUAUGGAGCCGUCGACCUCCGUCGUGUUUCGGGAUGACCUAGACCCGAUGUCGAUGCCGAUGUGGGGAUAGUUCGGAUCCCACGCGCUGUUGACGUAGGUGUCGAACUCGACGGCAAAUACCGAGGGGUUGCUGCCGGAGGAGCCGAAGAUUCCGAGGUUGGCCCCGCUGGAGCCGGUGGGGAUGGUGGAGCGGCGAGAUUGGUGAUGCUGGGUGUGGUGAUGAAGUUUACGGUGGUUUCAAAGUCGACUUGGCCACCGGCUUGGGAGAAUUGGACCGGGUUCGUGUACAAGACCCGGCCGACACUACCGAUCUGCGGUCGCCUUGGUAGGUGAGGUCGGUCGGCUGGUUGUCCCAGAAGUUAUAGGCGAAGGCCGUUGAUCGGGACUUCGCCCUGUUGGUGGCGACGGCGAGAAGAAGGGCGAUGGAGAUUAGGGUUUGGAGAAGGUUGGCCAUGGCUUAGUUGUGCAGUGAAUGAUGUCUACUACUUGCUCCUAUUUAUAAUGAUCGAAAAUAUCUACUACUUACCUACCACAGAUCCACAUCAGGGGCCCUGGAUGGGGUGGUCGACUACAUAAGCCCAAAAAAAUAAGGGCUCGGAAAAUAUAUAGAUCCAUGUAAGUAUUAUAUAUAUGUAUAAAAUAAUUAAAAGCCAACUAAUGAUUGAAUUGAUUAACUUGGCGCAGUGGAAAAAGGACAUUUUUAAUUCCUCUUAAUUACCAAUAUUUUAUUUAGUGACCAAUUUUUUUGUUUAGAUAUAGGGCCCAGCCCCUAUUUUGAUAAAUUAAGUGUAUGUAUUUCAAAUUAACAUUAUUUUAAGUUGUCGAAUUUUUUUGUUAAGAUUUAGGGUCCAGCCCCUAUUUUGUUAAAUUAACUUUAUUUUAAGUGAAUGACAUAAUUAUUAAUAUAUUUAUUAAUUAUUAUGUAAUUUGAUAAAAAAAUGUUUUAAAUAAUUUUAGUUUAUAAUUAAUUUAUUUCUCAAUUAUAAAUAAAUGGCCUAAAUUAAAAAAUUCGCAAAGGGCCUAUGUUCUCUUAGCCCUACCCUUGCACUGUUGCACAUGGUAUAUAUAUCUAUUCUAUGAAUAUAAGUGAUUAUUUUAUAAACCACGUGAAAGCACUUGUUCCCACUAGCACUAUAAAAGCAAUAAAUACAACGGAAAGAAAAUAAAUUACAAUUGAAUACAUUAGGAGAAAAAUUACUUCUAACCUAUGGAAUUACUAACAACGAUACUUAUACCAAAGCUAAAUUGGACCAACUAACUGUACACUCUUGUAUUAUAUCAACCUACCAGACCUUAGUAUUCACGAGUCUCCCACAGUCUAGACUGAUUCACAAUAUAUACCAACAUUGGAACAAGUUCAGUAAUACACUCUAUUUAUAUAUAUUAUUAUAUACACAAAAAUGCAUGGCUGCUGUGGUAUUACGGAAGGAUCGAGAAUUACUCGAUCCUUGGGAAAAGGUUCAAAUGAAACCUUUAUUAUUACUCUCCGUCCCCCAAAUAAUAUCAUAUCCGAUUUGGGAUAUUACCCCACCACUAAUAAUACUUUAUUUAUUCUAACUUCUCAAUCUUUCACCAUUCUCAAUACUAAUUAUAACACAUUUUCAUCACUUUCAAUACUAAUUAUAAUUUCUUUUCUCCACUGCUAAUACGUACACUUAACAAUUUUUCCUUAAAACCAGUGUCGUCCCCUACUAAGAAGUUAUUUGGGGGACGUAGGGAGUAUUUUUUAAUGAUAUGGCAUCCAAAUAUGUUGUGACAAUCCAGUGAGCAAUAUCAACUUUUUGGAGCUGAAAACCGAUGUGAGGUACAACUAAUACACAAUAUGUUGUGGCAAUCCAGUAAUAUACCCUAAGGAUGCGUCAUCUUUUGUUGUAAAUUUAUCAUGGAAAAAUGAGGGAUAAACAAAAUUUCACCCAUUAAAUCCUUCAUUUUUUCCCUCAUUUCUUACAAAAUAGAAUUUGACCCUUACUCAUUUCUCAUUUUCACUGCAAAGGGGGGCUAAUAUUAUCUCUCUAUUUUUGGUAUAAUGAAGAAUUUGAUACGUAAUUACAAUUAAUUAUAAUGAAGUGUGUAUUUUAGUUGCUCAUAUUCUUGGAUUAUUUAUGCUUUAAUGAAACGAUCCACUGCCUUUAACAUUUUGGCAUUUUAAAGUAAACGCCGAAAUGCAACGAUCCACUGCCUUUUAAGUAAACACCCUUGCUAACCCCUGCAUGCGUUUUUUCAUCAAACACUUGGGUUCAUUCUUUUAGGCAUUUUAUCAAACAGUUGUGCUCAGCCUCAUCCUUUUGAUCACAUUCCCAUAUCUCUCCUUAUAUGAAACCGCAUUUUCUAUUUCUCAUAUAUUUCCUAUAUAAUAUUUCCAUCAUUUCUAGCUCAACAAUAAUUCUUCUAGCAAAAUUAUCAUUUCAAAUGCACUCUUUUCCUUUUCUACUUUCUCUUCUGCAUAACAGAAAUACUAAUCCACCAUAAAAUAAUCAUAACUUUUUCUUAAUGAUACGAUGAGGGCACAAAGUUGAGAUGAUAAAAUCAUACAUAUUGGCGAAUGUUGCCGCCGGCUUCCUCUGACUUUUGGAUGCUGAGGGGAGGGGUGGCGGUGAAAUACCAGGAGUUGAUGAUGAAUUUGAUGGUUGUUUCCAUGUCCACCUGCCGCAGAGACCGAGAUACGAUUUUAGAAACAAACGGCAAAAUUACAAUUUCACAUAUAAAAAAUAAAAGACAAUUAAUAAAGCGCAUAAUAUUGGUAAGAUGCUUCCAACCAAUAGGUCGGGAUUGUAUAUCGUGUGAGUGUGUUUUUCAUUUUUUAGUAAUAACAUGUCGUGCUCGGGGCUUUUUUCCGUAUCUGCCCCUGCUUCCCGUCGUCGUGCCCGACUCGUCGGUUUUUGUCAUGCGGAGGUAGGUGGUGGCGUCGGUGAAGUUGGCGUCGCCUUCCAAGCGUAGGCCUUCCGAAUGUGGCGGCUUUUGGUAGAAGUCGUAGGUGAAGGAGACUGCAUCGCCGACCGACACGGUGGCGAGGAGGAGGGCGAUGGAGGAGAGGAGAGGAAUUAAGGUUUGGAGAAGGUUGGCCAAUUUGAUUAAAUGUAUUUGGAUGUAGUGGAUGAUGGUGUAUCGAUCUCUUGCUCCUAUUUAUAGUUGUAAAUAUAUAUUAAUAAUGGUAUCAUUCAAUCAUUAUACUUUAGGCCGGCCGGGCCGGAUCCUCUAUUCCAAAUUCUAUGUCUCAUUGUUCAUAUUCACUAUUAAUUUCACUAUUUCAAUAAUUAAAAAAAUUCAUAGAGUUUGGGGCAGAGGAUCCCGUUUGAAUCCCACAUGGAUCCUCUGUCCCAUAACUUAUUGUGUUCCUUCCCAUUAUUAAUCUCGAUAUUAUAUUUCUACUUUGGAGUUAAUUCAUUAUAAACCCAUGAAAGAUCAGACGAAAUUCAUCCAAUAAACAUUUAUAAAUUUAUAUUUAAAUUUUGUUUCGCGGGUAUCUGAUAGAUAAUAGGUAUUCGUGGGUGGCGAAUUUGGGUAGCAUUUGAUAUUCAUAGAUAGUUUCAUGAUUAAAAUCCAAUAUUCAUUUAGUUCACGGGUAUGGUAUGACAGCCACUAUCUGUGUACGUCAUACCUGAUUGCCAGUAUGACAAAUAUAAAAGUUGUGAGAUGCACAGCAGCUUAAUUAUUCAAAUAGAAAUAUCAUCACAUGUGCAUUGAUAUUUCACAAAAUAAAUACUACUACUAAUAAAUACUCCCUCCGUCCACCAAAGAUAUGCCACUUUACUUUCGGUACGAGUUUUAAUAAAAUGUGAGUGAAGUUGGUAGUGGAGUAAGGGUCCCACUUUAAAUGUGAGUGGAAUGGUAUGGACCUUACUACUAAAAAUGGAUGUGGCAUAUUUUUCGUGGACGAACGAGAAAGAAAAUUGUGGCAUAUCUUUGGUGGACGGAGGGAGUAGUACUCAUUGAUAAUGCAUGCCAACACAUGGUUCUUGCAAGUCAUAUAUAUACCUCAUCAGCAAUAUAGUAAAAUGAUGAUUUGACAACCAGAUUAAGACACCAAUUAUUCUUGUCGGGACACAGACAUAUAUGCAUAUAGAAUUAAUAUUAUUUACUAUUUCGUUUAUACACGUGAAUUAUGCUUUGGAUGCAACAUCGCCACGUCUCUUUCAUUUAUACUUCUCUAGUGUAUUGCGGACAAAAUAGUUAGUGUCUUUAAGAAAUUAAAAAUUUUCAAAUACAUAAGAAAGAAUAAUUAAUCUAAUUGGUGCGCCGGCAACUAAAACUUUUUUCAAUUCACUUUAUAUUUUAUAUACUCCCUCCGUCCACGAUUUAAUGCCCCAUUUUAGUGUGGGCACGGAGACUAAGAAAACUGAAAAAGGUGAUGUGAAUGAAAUAUAAGGGUAGUUGACUAAAGUGAUAAAGAUGCUGUGAGUGGGUUCACUAGUGAUAAAGUAUAGGAAAUAUAGAAUAUAAAAAUGAUAAAGGUGUUUUAAGUUGGGUCCAUUAGUGGCAAAGAGUAAUAAAUAUAGAAAAAGAAGAGUAAAAAAGUACAAAAAGCAUAAUAGGGCUUUAAUUUGUGGACAAAAAAUUAAGAGCAAGUAGGGCUUUAAAUUGUGGACGGAGGGAGUAUUUAACAUUACAAGUCAAUUGCUUGCAGAAUUUGAGCUUGUCUCCCGUGAUGGAGACCUCACCAUGCGGCAACCCGUGCCUGCGCCUGCCUUUUUUCUUCCCGUCUUGCUCUAUCCAGAUAUUAUACGUGAUCCAACUCUUUCCAGAUAUUAUACGUAAAUGAUAAUUUUACUAACAAAAAUUACACUUUUUAUCAAUAACAAAUGAAACUAUGCAUACAAAACAGGAGGUAAAUGAUAUUUUUCUUAAUAACAACUGAUACUUUUUCAAUGCAAAUAAUACUUCGCAAAUGAUAUUUUAAUAUAAAAGUAAAUGAUACUUUGUAUAAAAAUAAAUGUUAUAUUACAAAUGACACUUUUAAUGCAUACCAAUGACACUUUUAAUAACAAAAAUUGAGAAAAAAAAAUUAGAAUUCGGCCUUAAUUAAAAUUUGGACAACAUUUAUUUGGGCAAAGAAGAAAAACACCUGAAUUUUUUUUUUUCCUUUUUUGAGAGAGAAAAACUCAUGAAAUUUCAUGCAAAAGGUAAUGCAUAGCCAACCGGGCUCAAUCAUCUUUCGGCGGUUUUGGUUUGAUUCUUCCAACAUCUAGGGUAGCAUUCACACAAAAUCAACUCGUGUUCAAAAAUCUGAAAUUAAAAUUAACGAUGUGUCUCAGUAUAGAGAUAAGAACAUACCCCUCAAAUGGUUCGAGCCAAGGUCUAAUUCCUUCAGCAGUGUGAUAUUCCAAAUUUGAGUAGGCAUAUAUCCGCCAAAGUUGUUGUCUGACAAGCGAAUACUCUCAAGUUGUGGACAUUGGUACAAACUCGAUGGUAUAUCUCCUUCCAAAUUGUUAAAGGAUAGGUUCACUAGUUUAAGUCUUUGAAGGUUAUUGUACGUGCNUAGACAACAAGAAAUAUCUAUUGUCUAUUCUAUGACAAAAAAAUUAAAAAAUUCUAAUAUAUCUGCAUCCCUGUAUUACAAUACCAAUAUAUAUGAAAAAAUAAAAAUAAUUAAAAAUCAAAUAAUCAAACAAUACUUAUAAACCACUAAUACUCACAAUCAAAUAUUUACACAUCAGUGUAAAUAUUGGGUUCGAGUCCUCUGCGUGUGUUGAUCAAGCGGUAAGGGGUUAAUGCCUAAGGUCAAAGGUCUGGGAUUCGAGUCCCCUGUGGUGUAGCCUUUUAAUUUCGUUAUUUAAUAUUGUAAAUUUAUAAAAAAAAAAAAGUAUAUUUACACAUCAACAAUUGUAUUAUCUUUAAUACGCCUUCAUUCAUCUAAUAAAAAAAAUCUCUAAUAAAAUCUCCAACUAACUCCGGUCAUGAUCAUCUCUUGAAGGCGGAGGAAGGUGGAGUCCGUCGGGAAAUGGGUACUGCCUUGAUAGAUGAGAUCUUUCGGCUGGUCGCCCCAGAAGUCGUAGGUGAAGGACGUCGUUUGGGACAACGCCGUGUUGGAAACGGAGAGGAGGAGGACGAUGGAGGAGAGGAGAGGAGUUAAGGUUUGAAGAAGCUGGUUGGCCAUGGCUUAAUUGAUUUAGAUUUAGAGAUGUGGUGGAUGAUGGUGGUAUCGAUCUCUUGCACCUAUUUAUACUAGUAUGGUUCAUGCCUGUUAAUAAUUGUAUAUAUCAAUCAUCGUGCAUCUAUCCCAAAUUAUAUGUCUUAUUAUUCACUAAUUAGAUGGAUUAAAUCCUGAUUAGUAACCAUAAAAUUAAACUGUCAAUGAGGCCUUGCUCUAGUGGCAAAGCUGUGACACCGAAUAACUUUUCUUUGUGAAAUGUCUUGGGUUCAAUCUCGCCUGCAUGCGGUGAUGUGUGUCCAUUUUAGGUGGUGUGGUAUUCUUGUCUGCGUGCGGUGUUGUAUUGUUUAGUGUUGAGGUCCCACAUGCAGAGCGUUCUUGCCUGUGUACGUGUCACAGCCCAAAACCAUUUAUUUUCUUUACAAAUUUUAUAUAUGAAAAUUAUUUAAUUUUUAAGUUAUAGAGUUUUUGAAAUAUAUAUAGUAUCAAUUUUAUGUUAACUUAGUCGUGUCCCUAAUUAAAAGAAUGACUUUAAAAUAAAACUUAAGCCUUAAAAAUUUAAUCUACAUUCAUAUAUAACUGAAAUUACAUGCAUGUCUAAAUAUUAUUUAUAAUUAUCAAUAACAAGAUUAAUGAUUCUAUAUCUCUAUGUUUAUACAUGUAUUCACGUAUGACAUAGUAUAUAUUAGCUAUUAAGUUAAAAACUAAUAAAAUACUACACUUUUGCAUAGGAUAUAUAUUUAAUUAGUAGUAGGAUAGGACACGUGUAUUAAUUUUAAGGGCAAGUAAUCAAACUUUUGAAUGAUUCAUCAUGCUUAAAAAAAAAAGAGACCUAGAUAGAUGAUUCAUCAGAUUCAAAAACAAGUAUAAAUAGACUUCGGGUUUGAAAUUUUAAUUAAUUUGCAACAACAAUUCAAACUGACUGUAUUAAGGUAAGUAGUUACAGAUUUCAUACACAUAUUAUAUGAUUUCGCACACAUAUUAAGGUAAGUAUAUAUAAAUAUUUUUUAAAAUCAUAUAUUAUAUAAUAAUUAUAUUUAAGUUUUAUAUUAUUCUUUAUAAACUAUUGUUUCAUUCUAUAUAAUUAGGUGUGGCACGACUAGGACGUAACUUUCUAUUGAAUUUCUCAAGUUAAUCUUAGAGUUCAAGUUUCAGGUGUGAGAUUUAUUUAAAUACAUGUCGUACGUGGUUAUUUAUUGUCCAUUUUAAUAAGAUGUGUUUACCAUAUGUGUUAUGACGCAUAUUUUUAGGAUAUCACUAGGUGCCCAUAAAUAGGAUCCAGGACUUCACCGUCCUUGGAUUGCCACAAUGCGAUUUGAGGUUUAUUUUGAGGAUGUCGUUAGGGGCCCGUACAUAGGGUCCAGGACUUUAAUAGUCAUUGGGUUGCCAUAGUGCAAAUAUUGAGGAUAUAUAUGAAGUGACCGUAUGUGUUACCGUUUCAUUAACGUGGACAAUGAUUGCAUGUUUAAGAGACAAUAACCAAUUUUUCAGACAUUUGUGAACAAAAUGAAGCAUGUUUAGAGAUCCUUAAUACAGGUGUACGAAAUGAUGGAUAAAUAAGUUUGUGAAACAAAUUUCACCAUACCUAACCCCACAAUUAUUUGCGGUCGAAUUUCCUCGUCACAGGAAAAAGAGAUGAUGACAAAAGGGAAAAAAUUAAUUAACAAAGUAGAAGAUGCAUGACAACUGUAAAAGAAAAAUAAUGCUACUAAUUAAAUAGUCCAAACUUCAUACGUUUCAUAUCAUAAGUGGCAGUUCUAUUUUUUUUUUUGCGAAUGUGAACAAAAUAACGAAUAAUUUUUAAAGUAAUAGUAAUAAGGAGAUGUGUUUUGACAGAAAACGACAUGAGCGGCCUAAAAAUAAGAGGGAAAAAGAUAAUCAUAUAAAUAUUCAAAAUCAAACGGAUUGGCAUGUAUUCAUCAUUUUUUAUUUUUUAUUUUGAUAAUUUAACAGUACUCCCUCCGUCCGUCAAAAGUAGACCACUUUGGUUGGGCACGGGAUUUAAUAAAAUUAGUGAUGAUUUUGAUGUAGUAGAGAAAGAGUUCCACCACUUUAUGAGAUGUGUGGUUGAGAUUGAAUUUGUUGUGAUUUUUUUGUAAAUAAAGAGUGUUUGUAAGGAUAAAAGAUUAAAGUGGGUGGUGGGACCAUUUCCAUAAAAGGAAAGUGGUCUACUAUUUGCGGACGCCCAAUAUAGUAAAAGUAGUCUACUUUUGGCGGACGGGGAGAGUAUUAAAUAAAUAAAUUUAAAGGUUGCACCCCUUACUGCUUGGCUUUUAGAUUAUGUUAUAAUAAUAAAAUUAACAGCACGUUUACAAUAUAAAAUUAAUUAUGAUAAAUACAAUAUAUUAAUAAUAAAUACUCAAUUACCUCUUAACAUAAUUCGCGCAUCAUGGCUUUUAGCUUAUAUUAUAAAGAUAUAAUAUGUUGUCUAUAAUAAUCGACGGAAGGUAAUAGACAACAUGUUUUAUAUGUUGUCUAUAAUAAUAUAGACAGUAGAUCUAGUGUUAUAGAUAACAAUUAAUACUUGUUGUCUAUAUGAUGAUAGACACCAAAAAUCUCUGUUGUCUAUUCUAUGACAAAAAAAUUUAAAAAAAUUCUAAUAUAUUUACAUCCCUGUAUUACAAUACCAAUAUAUAUGAAAAAAUAAAAAUAAUUAAAAAUCAAAUAAUCAAACAAUACUUAUAAACCACUAAUACUCACAAUCAAAUAUUUACACAUCAACAACUGUAUUAUCUUUAAUUACGCCUUCAUUUAUCUAUUAAAAAAAAUCUCUAAUAAAAUCUCUAACUAACUCCGGUCAUCAUCUCUUGAAGGCUUAGAAAAUGUCCAAAUACAGCGGCACAUGCUCAUUAUUGUGUGAGCGAUGAGAACUUUGCGCUGAACCUAUAAAGUAACUAUACUUAACUGGUAAAGUAAUUGUAUCCCGUGAAUCUAAAGGAAGACUACACACGUUGAUAGAGUUUGAAAGAAAAGAAUAAAGAGAAUGAAAAUCCAAAGAAUUUGCUUCUUCCGUUGAACAAUCCCUACACAACAUUGAAAUAUCAAUGAAAAUAAUGGCUAUCGUAUACUCCCUCCAUCCAUGAAAGAACUUCAUAGGAGGGAGUGACACGGGUUUUAAGAAAAAAUAUUGUUAAGUGUAUUGAGAGUGGAUAAAAGGUAGUUGAGUGUAUUGGGAGUGGUGAAAAUGUGUUAUAGUUAAUAUUGAGAGUUGUGAAAAGUGAAAAGUAAGAGGAUUAUAAGUGGUGGGGUAUAGUCCAAAAAUAGGUAGGAAGUUCUUUUGUGGACGUCCCAAAAAGGAAAGAUAUGAAGUUCUUUCGUGGACGGAGGGAGUAUUAUUUUGCAGCAGCAACCACGUUUGAAAACUCGAUCCCUCUGUUCUUGAAUUUGUGAAAUUUCCGACUGAUUUAUUAGAUUCACCAUUUAUUUCAGUUUAAUUAGUCUAUAUAUAGAUAUUUCUUAUAUUAUUAAAUUGUUAACCUCAUGGUAGAUUUCAAGAUUUGAAAAUUCAACAAAGAGCUUGAGAAUUAUUGAGAUUGGAAGGGGAAGAUGAAACAUAAUUGGGUGAAAUUAGAAACCAAUUAAAGUCACAAGAUUGAACAAAAACAUAACUUAAAAACACAAAAUAAGCAAAUCGUAGAUGCAGUAUCUUGCAAGAAAAAGUUCAUAUUCCCAAGGCUAUGAUGAGCACGAAUUAGGGUGUGUCUGCAUUUUAUCCCUCUAAAUAGAGGAAUAACAAAAUUUUAUUCUUUAAAUGUUUGCUUUCUUAUCACACAUUCUACACAAACACCAUUUUUUCUUCCUUAUUUUCACUUCAAGGAGGANUAAUAUUAUCCCUCCAAUUUUGGUGUGAUAAUAUUAUCUCUUCUUGAAGUGAAAAUAAGGAAGAAAAAAUGGUAUUUGUGUAGGAUGUGGGAUAAGAAAGCAAACAUUUAAAGGUAUAAAUUUUUGUUAUUCCUCAUUUAGAGGAAUAAAAAGCAAACACACAUUAGAGUCUACUUACAAUUUAGGCGCAGGCUGUGCGAGAAUUACUUAGUCGAAUAGGAUCCUAAGUAUUUAUAUUUCUCAUGUUCUUGUGUAUUUUUUUACUGAUUCACUAUUGGAUUAACAAGAAUUAUCUUACUUUAAAUUUCUUGCUUUAAAAAAAAAAAAGAAUUAUCUUACUUCAUGUAUGGUAUGCCAACUGUUCGAUAAAGGUCCUUUUAGAAAUCUUCUAUUGAUUACCUUGCGAAGACCACAAAACUAGACACACCCAAAAGCAUUCUUGCAUAGUUUAUACAUAGAGAUGGCCGAUUGAUGAUCGUCUUAUUUGUAGACUUAACGCGAGCAGACUCGAUCGCUUAGUCCUUAUUGAUUUACGACACACAUGCUCACACACACACAUACACACAUCACAAAAUCACACAAAUUGACGGAUAAUGUUGCCGUUCAGCUCCUUCCUGAACCUCACCGCGGCAUUUUUCUGCACCAUAGUGGCCGUGAAAUACCACGAGACGAUGUCAUGGACGGCGACGUGUUGUCCGGUGGCGGCGGAUAGCCCGACCUGAACCUGCUGAGGAACAAAGUCGCUCAAAUCGUACUCAUAGUUGACAUCAAAUGUCUGCGAGCCGGCGGUGACUUUCACGGAGAUCAUCCUUGUGGCUCCGACGUAGUUGAUCCGCGCAGUCACCUGCUGCCCGAGUAUGGAGUUGUCGACCUUCGUCGUGUUGCUGGAUGCCCUAGAGCCGAAGUCGAUGCCGAUGUGGGGAUAGAGCGGAUCCCACGCGCCGUUGACGUAGGUGUCGAUUUCGACGGCGAAGACCGAGGGGCUGUUGCCGUUGGAGCCAAAGAUUCCGAGGUUGGCUCCGUUGGAGCCAGGGGGGAUGGUGGAACCGACGGGGGCAAUGAAGAAGGCGAGGCCGUCGGCAGGCUCGUUGUCGGCGCCCGGGGUGAUGAUGAAGUUCACAGUGGUUUCGAAGUCGACCUGCCCACCGGACUGCGAGAAUUGGACCGGGUUCGAGUGCAAGACGCGGCCGACUUGUGAGGGCUGUGCGUCUGUGAGGCGGAGGAAGGUGGAGUCCGUCGGGAAAUGGGCGCUGCCUUGAUAGAUGAGAUCUUUCGGCUGGUCGCCCCAGAAGUCGUAGGUGAAGGACGUCGUUUGGGACAACGCCGUGUUGGAAACGGCGAGGAGGAGGGCGAUGGAGGCGAGGAGAGGAGUUAAGGUUUGAACAAGCUGGUUGGCCAUGGCUUAAUUGAUUUAGAUUUAGAUUUAGAGAUGUGGUGGAUGAUGGUGGCCAGGUAUCGAUCUCUUGCACCUAUUUAUACUAGUAUGGUUCAUGCCUGUUAAUAAUUGUAUAUAUCAAUCAAUCAUCGUGCAUCUAUCCCAAAUUAUAUGUCUUAUUAUUCACUAAUUAGAUGGAAUAAAUCCUAAUUAGCAAUCUUAAAAUUACACCGCCAAUGAGGCCUUGCUCUAGUGGUAAAGCUGUGGCACCGAAUAACUUUUCUUUGUGAAAGGUCUUGGGUUCAAUCUCGCCUGCAUGCGGUGAUGUUUGUCCAUUUUAGAUGGUGUGGUAUUCUUGCCUGCGUGCGGUGUUGUAUUAUUUAGUCUUAGGCGUUCUUGCCUGUGUGCAUAUCACUGUGUGACAAUUAAAAGAAUGACUUUAAAAUAAAAGUUAAGCCUUAAAAAUUUAAUCUACAUUCAUAUAUAACUGAAAUUACAUGCAUGUCUAAUUUUUUUAAUAUCAUAACAAGAUAAGAUUUAUUAAAUAAUUCAGAUGCAUAAAUAAAAAGUUAAUCUAUAAACACAGUAUAGAUAUAUUAUCAAUGAUAGGCCGUGUAUAAGUCUUAAUCUGUAAAACUAUAUCAUCCCAGCCUUAAACGACUACCAUUCCUGCUUUCCCAGAGCAACCACACUGUUCCCACCCACAAAGCUUUAAGCAGUACAUGCAUGUCUAAAUAUUAUUUAUAAUUAUCAAUAACAAGAUUAAUGAUUCUAUAUCUCUAUGUUUAUACAUAUAUUCACGUAUGACAUAGUAUAUAUUAGCUAUUAAGUUAAAAACUAAUAAAAUACUACAGUUUUGCAUAGGAUAUAUAUUUAAUUAGUAGUAGGAUAGGACACGUGUAUUAAUUUUAAGGGCAAGUAAUCAAACUUUUGAAUGAUUCAUCAUGCUUAAAAAAAAAAAGAGACCUAGAUAGAUGAUUCAUCAGAUUCAAAAACAAGUAUAAAUAGACUUCGAGUUUGAAAUUUUAAUUAAUUUGCAACAACAAUUCAAACUGACUGUAUUAAGGUAAGUAGUUACAGAUUUCAUACACAUUAUAUGAUUUCGCGCACAUACGUAUGUAUAUAUAAAUAUUUUUUAAAAUCAUAUACUCCCUCCGUCCCCAAAAUAAGUUCCUCUUUGGGGACGGCACGGAUUUUAAGGAAAAGUGGUAAAGUGUAUUAAUAGUGGAGAAAAAUAUGUUAUAAUUAGUAUUGGAAGUUGUGAAAAGGUGAAAAAGUGUUAUAAUUAGUAUUGGGAGUGGUGAAAAAGUGAAAAGUAAGAAUAAAUAAAGUAUUAUUAGUGGUGGGGUAGUUGUCCAAAAAUGGAAAAAAAGAAAGAGGAACUUAUUUGGGGGACAUCCCAAAAUGGAAAAAGAGGAACUUAUUUCAGGGACGGAGGGAGUAUUAUAUAAUAAUUAUAUUUAAGUUUUAUAUUAUUCUUUAUAAACUAUUGUUCCAUUCUAUAUAAUUAGGUGUGGCACGACUAGGACGUAACUUUCGAUUGAAUUUCUCAAGUUAAUUUUCAAGUUCAAGUUUCAGGUGUGAGAUUUAUUUAAAUACAUGUCAUGAUUAUUCAUUGUCCAUUUUAAUAGUAUGUGUUUACCAUAUGUGUUAUGACGCAUAUUUUGAGGACAUCGCUAGGAGCCCAUAAAUAGGGUCCAGGACUUCACCGUCCUUGGAUUGCCACAAUGCGAUUUGAGGUUUAUUUUGAGGAUGUCGUCAGGGGCCCGUAAAUAGGGUCCAGGACUUUAAUAGUCAUUGGGUUGCCACAGUGCGAAUAUUGAAGAUAUAUAUGAAGUGACCGUAUGUGUUACCGUUUCAUUAACGUGGACAAUGAUUGCAUGUUUAAGAGACAAUAACCAAUUUUUCAGACAUUUGUGAACAAAAUGAAGCAUGUUUAGAGAUCCUUAAUAAAGGUGUACGAAAUGAUGGAUAAAUAAGUUUGUGAAACAAAUUUCACCAUACCUAACCCCACAAUUAUUUGCGGUCGAAUUUCCUCGUCACAGGAAAAAGAGAUGAUGACAAAAGGGCAAAAAUUAAUUAACAAAGUAGAAGAUGCAUGACAACUGUAAAAGAAAAAUAAUGCUACUAAUUAAAUAGUCCAAACUUCAUACGUUUCAUAUCAUAAGUGGCAGUUCUAUUUUUUUUUUGCGAAAGUGAACAAAAUAACGAAUAAUUUUUAAAGUAAUAGUAAUAAGGAGAUGUGUUUUGACAGAAAACGACAUGAGCGGCCUAAAAAUAAGAGGGAAAAAGAUAAUCAUAUAAAUAUGGGUUAAUUGCCUCUAAAUACACCACCUUUCCUUGAAUUCUACAAUUGCACAUCACCUUUAAAAUCCGCCCUUAAAUACACCACCUUUCCUUGAGUUCUACAAUUGCACAUCACCUUUAAAUCCGCCCCAAAAUACAUCAUCUUUAUAUUUUUUCUGUUUUUGCACAUGACUAAAAAAUUCUCAAGAAAUAAAUUAAAGUGUUAAUUUAUAAAUUUAAAUAUCUUUUUAGCAGCGAAAACAUAAUAAAAUAAAAUUCUUUAUAAAGUUUAAAAUCAUAUAUAUAUAUAUAUAUAUAUAAGUAUUUUCGUAAAGAAAUAAAUUCUCUAAUAAAUUUUUAGAAAGAACUUGAAUUAAAAAAAUAAACAAGUCAUGACAUUAAGAAAAUAAAAUGAAAUUUUUAUUUUAAUAAAUUUCACACGAAUUCGAUAUAAUUUGGAAUUUAGAGUUACAAUAAUCAGAAGUACCACAUGAAUAAUAUAAUGAGUUUGAAAGAAAUUUUUUUUAAAGAGGUUCGACACGCCCAUUCGACUUUCCACGCGCCUCCAAUGUCAUUUACCUGAAAUAUUAANUAUAUAAGUAUUUUUCGUAAAGAAAUAAAUUCUCUAAUAAAUUUUUAGAAAGAACUUGAUUAAAAAAUAAACAAGACAUGACAUUAAGAAAAUAAAAUGAAACUUUUAUUUUAAUAAAUUUCACACGAAUUCGAUAUAAUUUGGAAUUUAGAGUUACAAUAAUAAAAAGAACCACAUAAAUAAUAUAAUCAGUUUGAAAGAAAUAUAUAUAUAUUUUUUUAAAGAGGUUCGACGCGCCCAUUCGACUCUCCACGCGCUACCAAUGUCAUUACCUGAAAUACUAAAUAUGGGAUAAGCAUACAUAAUAUACUUAGUGUGGGAACAUGCAAUUAUUGUCCACGUUAAUAAAAUAGUAACACAUACGAUCAUAACAUUCAAAACGACACAAUUUUGCCAAUAUGGAAGCCACGUCAUUUAAAGUGGUAACACCCUAAUCUAACUAAAGUGUUAAAUAUAAAUUUAAAGCGGAAAUAUAAUAAAAUAAAGUUCUUUAUAAAAAUAAAUAAAGAAUUUUAUUUUAUUAUAUUUCCGCUGCUAAAAAAGAUAUUUAAAAUUUAUAAAUUAACACUUUAAUUUAUUUCUUGAGGAUUUUUAAGUCAUGUGCAAAAACAGAAAAAAAAUAUAAAGGUGAUGUAUUUUGGGGCGGAUUUAGAAUUCAAGGAAAUGUGGUGUAUUUAGGGGCGGAUUUUAAAGGUGAUGUGCAAUUGUAGAAUUCAAGGAAAGGUGGUGUAUUUAGGGGAAAUUAACCCUAUAAAUAUUCAAAAUCAAACGGAUUGGCAUGUAUUCAUCAUUUUUUAUUUUUUAUUUUGAUAAUUUAACAGUAUUAAAUAAAGAAAUUUAUAGGCUGCGUCCCUUACUGCUUGGCUUUUAGAUUAUGUUGUAAUAAUAAAAUUAAAAGCACGUUUACAAUAUAAAAUUAAUUAUGAUAAAUACAAUAUAUUAAUAAUAAAUACUCAAUUACCUCUUAACAUAAUUCGCGCAUCAUGGCUUUUAGCUUAUAUUAUAAAGAUAUAAUAUGUUGUCUAUAAUAAUCGACGGAAGGUAAUAGACAACAUGUUUUACUUCUUGUCUAUAAUAAUAUAGACAGUAGAUCUAGUGUUAUAGAUAACAAUUAAUACGUGUUGUCUAUAUGAUGAUAGACACCAAAAAUCUCUGUUGUCUAUUCUAUGACAAAAAAAUUUAAAAAAAUUCUAAUAUAUUUACAUCCCUGUAUUACAAUACCAAUAUAUAUGAAAAAAUAAAAAUAAUUAAAAAUCAAAUAAUCAAACAAUACUUAUAAACCACUAAUACUCACAAUCAAAUAUUUACACAUCAACAAUUGUAUUAUCUUUAAUUACGCCUUCAUUUAUCUACUAAAAAAAAUCUCUAAUAAAAUCUCUAACUAACUCCGGUCAUCAUCUCUUGAAGGCUUAGAAAAUGUCCAAAUACAGCGGCACAUGCUCAUUAUUGUGUGAGCGAUGAGAACUUUGCGCUGAACCUAUAAAGUAACUAUACUUAACUGGUAAAGUAAUUGUAUCCCGUGAAUCUAAAGGAAGAAUAAACACGUUGAUAGAGUUUGAAAGAAAAGAAUAAAGAGAAUGAAAAUCCAAAGAAUUUGCUUCUUCCGUUGAACAAUCCCUACACAACGUUGAAAUAUCAAUGAAAACAAUGGCUAUCCUAUACUCCCUCCAUCCAUGAAAGAACUUCCUAGGAGGGAGUGACACGGGUUUUAAGAAAAAAUAUUGUUAAGUGUAUUGAGAGUGGAUAAAAGGUAGUUGAGUGUAUUGGGAGUGGUGAAAAUGUGUUAUAGUUAAUAUUGAGAGUUGUGAAAAGUGAAAAGUAAGAGGAUUAUAAGUGGUGGGGUAUAGUCCAAAAAUAGGUAGGAAGUUCUUUUGUGGACGUCCCAAAAAGGAAAGAUAUGAAGUUCUUUCGUGGACGGAGGGAGUAUUAUUUUGCAGCAGCAACCACGUUUAAAAACUCGAUCCCUCUAUUCUUGAAUUUGUGAAAUUUCCGACUGAUUUAUUAGAUUCACCAUUUAUUUCAGUUUAAUUAGUCUAUAUAUAGAUAUUUCUUAUAUUAUUAAAUUGUUAACCUCAUGGUAGAUUUCAAGAUUUGAAAAUUCAACAAAGAGCUUGAGAAUUAUAGAGAUUGGAAGGGGAAGAUGAAACAUAGUUGGGUGAAAUUAGAAACCAAUUAAAGUCAGGAGAUUGAAGAAAAACAUAACUUAAAAACACAAAAUAAGCAAAUCGUAGAUGCAGUAUCUUGCAAGAAAAAGUUCAUAUUCCCAAGGCUAUGAUGAGCACGAAUUAGGGUGUGUCUGCAUUUUAUCCCUCUAAAUGGAGGAAUAAUAAAAUUUUAUGCCUUUAAAUGUUUGCUUUCUUAUCACACAUUCUAAACAAACACCAUUUUUUCUUCCUUAUUUUCACUUCAAUGAGGGAUAAUAUUAUCCCUCCAAUUUUGGUGUGAUAAUAUUAUCCCUCCUACAAGUGAAAAUAAGGAAGAAAAAAUGGUACUCCCUUCGUCCCAAACGAAAUGUCCUGUUUUCCUUUUUGGGCUGUCCCAAACGAAAUGUCCUGUUUCCUUUUUUGGCAAUACACUCUCUCUCUAUACUUAAUAUUUAAAUAAUUUUCACCAACCCACUUUAUCUACUUUAUACACAUUUCUUAAUCUCCGUGCCGAAAAGAAAUGGGACAUUUCGUUUGGGACGGAGGGAGUAUUUGUGUAGGAUGUGGGAUAAGAAAACAAACAUUUAAAGACAUAAAUUUUUGUUAUUCCUCCAUUUAGAGGGAUAAAAAGCAAACACACCUUAGAGUCUAAUUACAAUUUAGGCGCAGGCUGUGUGAGAAUUACUUAGUCGAAUAGGAUCCUUAGUAUUUAUAUUUCUCAUGUUCUUGUGUAUUUUUUCACUGAUUCACUAUUGGAUUAACAAGAAUUAUCUUACUUUAAAAAAAAAAAAGAAAUGAUCUUACUUCAUGUAUGGUAUGCCAACUGUUCGAUAAAGGUCCUUUUAGAAAUAUUCCAUAGAUUACCUUGCAAAGACCACAAAACUAGACACACCCUGCAUAGUUUAUACAUAGGGAUGGCCGAUUGAUGAUCGUCUUAUUUGUAGACUUAACGAGAGCAGACUCGAUCGCUUAGUCCUUACUGAUUUACGACACACAUGCACACAUACACAGAUACACACAUCACAAAAUCACGCAAAUUGACGGAUAAUGUUGCCGGCCAGCUCCUUCCUGCUCCACGCCACGGCAUUUUUCUGCACCAUGGUGGCCGUGAAAUACCACGAGACGAUGUCAUGGGUGGCGACGUGUUGUCCGGUGGCGGCGGAUAGCCCGACCUGAACCUCCUGAGCAACAAAGUAGCUCAAAUCGUACUCAUAGCUGACAUCAAACGUCUGAUUGCCGGCGGUGACUUUGACGGAGAUCAUCCUUGUGGCUCCGACGUAGUUGAUCCGCGCAGUUACCUGCUGCUUGAGUAUGGAGCUGUCGACCGGCGUCGUCUUGCUGGAUACCCUAGAGCCGAAGUCGAUGCCGAUGUGGGGAUAGAGCGGAUCCCACGCGCCGUUGACGUAGGUGUCGAUUUCAACGGCGAAGACCCCGGGGCUGUUGCCGUUGGAGCCAAAGAUUCCGAGAUUGGCUCCGUCGGAGCCAGGGGGGAUGGUGGAGUCGACGGGGGCAAUGAAGAAGGCGAGGCCGUCGGCAGGCUCGUUGUCGGCGCCGGGGGUGAUGAUGAAGUUCACGGUGGUUUCGAAGUCGACCUGCCCAUUGGACAUCCAGAAUUGGACCGGUUCCGAGUACAUGACGCGGCCGACUUGGGACGGUUGUGCGUCUGUGAGGCGGAGGAAGGUGGAGUCCGUCGGGAAAUGGGCGUUGCCUUGAUAGAUGAGAUCUUUCGGCUGGUCGCCCCAGAAGUCGAAGGUGAACGACGUCGUUUGGGACAACGCCGUGUUGGAAACGGCGAGGAGGAGGGCGAUGGAGGCGAGGAGAGGAGUUAAGUUGGCCAUGGCUUAAUAGAUUUAGAUUUAGAGAUGUGGUGGAUGAUGGUGGUAUCGAUCUGUUGCACCUAUUUAUACUAGUAUGGUUCAUGCCUGAUAAUAAUUGUAUCAAUCAAUCAUCGUGCAUCUAUCCCAAAUUAUAUGUCUUAUUAUUCACUAAUUAGAUGGAAUAAAUCCUAAUUUGCAAUCUUAAAAUUAAACCGCCAAUGAGGCCUUGCUCUAGUAGCAAAGCUGUGGCACCCAAUAACUUUUCUUUGUGAAAGGUCUUGGGUUCAAUCUCGCCUGCAUGCGGUGAUGUUUGCCCACUUUAGGUGGUGUGGUAUUCUCGCCUGCGUGCGGUGUUAUAUUGUUUAGUGUUAAGGUCCCACAUGCAGGGCGUUCUUGCAUGUGUGCGUGUCACAACCCAAAACCAUUUAUUUUCUUUACAAAUUUUAUAUGAAAAUUAUUUGAUUUUUAAGUUAUAGAGUUUUCGAUAUAUAUACAUAUAGUGUCAAUUUUAUGUUAACUUAGUCGUGUCCCUAAUUAAAAGAAUGAAUUUGAAAUAAAAGUUAAGCCUUAAAAAUUUAAUCUACAUUCAUAUAUAACUGAAAUUACAUGCAUGUCUAAAUAUUAUUUAUAAUUAUCAAUAACGGGAUUAAUGAUUCUAUAUCUCUAUGUUUAUACAUAUAUUCACGUAUGACAUAGUAUAUAUUAGCUAUUAAGUUAAAUAAAAUACUACAGUUUUGCAUAGGAUAUAUAUUUAAUUAGUAGUAGGAUAGGACACGUGUAUUAAUUUUAAGGGCAAGUAAUCAAACUUUUGAAUGAUUCAUCAUGCUUAAAAAAAAGAGACCUAGAUAGAUGAUUCAUCAGAUUCAAAAACAAGUAUAAAUAGACUUCGAGUUUGAAAUUUUAAUUAAUUUGCAACAACCAUUCAAACUGACUGUAUUAAGGUAAGUAGUUACAGAUUUCAUACACAUUAUAUGAUUUCGCGCACAUACGUAUGUAUAUAUAAAUAUUUUUUAAAAUCAUAUAUUAUAUAAUAAUUAUAUUUAAGUUUUAUAUUAUUCUUUAUAAACUAUUGUUCCAUUCUAUAUAAUUAGGUGUGGCAUGACUAGGACGUAACUUUCGAUUGAAUUUCUCAAGUUAAUCUUCAAGUUCAAGUUUCAGGUGUGGGAUUUAUUUAAAUACAUGUCGUGGUUAUUUAUUAUCCAUUUUAAUAAUAUGUGUUUACCAUAUGUGUUAUGAUGCAUAUUUUGAGGAUAUCGCUAGGGGCCCAUAAAUAGGGUCCAGGACUUCACCGUCCUUGGAUUGCCACAAUGCAAUUUGAGGUUUAUUUUGAGGAUGUCGUCAGGGAUCCGUAAAUAGGGUCCAGGACUUUAAUAGUCCUUGGGUUGCCACAGUGCGAAUAUAUUGAGGAUAUAUAUGAAGUGACCGUAUGUGUUACCGUUUCAUUAACGUGGACAAUGAUUGCUUGUUCUCACACUGAGUGUACUCUGUAUGCUCAUCCCAUAUUUAACGUGGAAGGUCGAUUGACGAAUCAAAUAUUUUGUAUUUAGCUUUACCUAAAUAUGUUAUUUUGAGUAAAGUAUUUUAAAUAAAAAUUUAUUUCAUAAUUUUCUCAUUAAAUAUUUAUUUAUAUUCAUAGCUUUUCCGCACAAAUAUUUAUUUAAAUUUUAAUUAGAUUUGGGUGUCACUGUGCGGUGAUGUUUUUCCACCGUUUCGGUGGUGGUGAGGCCCCACCUGCGUGCACGUUAUAUACUUGAUUAUAUUCAGAUACCUCUUGUAAUUUUUAAAAAAAUAAUCAUAAAAUUAAACCAAAGCAUAUAAAAUUGAAAUUGGCCAAAAAAAUAUAUAAAAAUAAAUAAAAUUAAAAAUGGGAUAUAAAGUGAGACAUUAAAUGUGGUACACUACUGAAUCUCAAUCCAACACGUGGAUGCUACAUUGUACUUGUCGGAAUAUUAGAACUUCUACAAAAUAUUGCUAUUGGAAACGUGAAAUUUUAUUAUGAGAAAACUUAUACCUGACCCCACAGUCGUGGGCACGUGUUAUGUUGCGCGGAAAUUAAAGUGGUGGGGACCGUAAAUGGUAUUUUAGUCUUUUAAUUUAUUUUAGUAUACAAAAGAGUUAAUUUUAAAGAGGCGCUAAAAAACACAUCACUUUUAAAAAUUGGUAUUUAAAAUCUUGAACCCCUUUUAUUAUUUUAGAAAGAUAUUAAUUAAUUGAUAAAUUAAUAAAUUAUUAAUUGAAACAAUUAUUUUAAGCAAAUUUAAUUAUAAUUACCUAAAAAUUUAAAAAACAUAAAUUCAAUACCAUUCAAAUUCAACAAACUAACUUAAAUUUUUACUUUAAAAAAUCUUCAUCAAUCUUGCAAUCUCGGCUUGGACUAUAAAUGUUCAACAAGAGACAAUAACCAAUUUUUCAGACAUUUGUGAACAAAAUGAAGCAUGUUUAGAGAUCCUUAAUAAAGGUGUACGAAAUGAUGGAUAAAUAAGUUUGUGAAAAUUUCACCAUACCUAACCCCACAAUUAUUUGCGAUCGAAUAUCCUCGUCACAGGAAAAAGAGAUGAUGACAAAAGGGAAAAAAAAAUUAACAAAGUAGAAGAUGCAUGACAACUGUCAAGAUAAAUAAUGUUACUAAUUAAAUAAUCCAAACUUUAUACGUUUCAUAUCAUAAGUGGCAGUUCUAUAUUUUUUGCGAAAGUGAACAAAAUAACGAAUAAUUUUUAAAGUAAUAGUAAAAGGAGAUGUGUUUUGACAGAAAACGACAUGAGCGGCCUAAAAAUAAGAGGGAAAAAGAUAAUCAUAUAAAUAUUCAAAAUCAAACGGAUUGGCAUGUAUUCAUCAUUUUUUAUUUUAAUAAUUUAACAGUAUUAAAUCAAGAAAUUUAAAGACCGCGCCCCUUACUGCUUGGCUUUAAGAUUAUGUUACAAUAAUAAAAUUAACAGCACGUUUACAAUAUAAAAUUAAUUAUGAUAAAUGCAAUAUAUUAAUAAUAAAUACUCAAUUACCUCUUAACAUAAUUCGCGCAUCAUGGCUUUUAGCUUAUGUUAUAAAGAUGGAGUAUAAAAUAAUCAUCACCUGUGCAUGAUAUUUCACAAAAUAAUUAAAUAAUAAAAUAAUCAAUCAUAAUGCCAAGACGUGACUCUUGUCGGUCAUAUCUCAUCAACUUUAUCUAUAUAGUACAAUGAUGAUUAAUUUGAGAACGACGAUUAAGACACCAACUAUUCUUGUGGGGACACAUGCAUAUAUAGAAUUAAUAUUAUAAACUCUCUCGGUCCACGAAAUAACUUACUAUUUUUUCUUUUAAGAACGUGAACAAAAAAAAUUCCCAUCGAUAUUUCGGAACUAUACCCCACUACUUUAAAAUACCUCAUUUUACCCUUUCUUUUUCACAAAAACAACAAAUUACUAAUAAUUUUUCACUAUUCCUAAUAUACUGAACAAUUUUUCUCCACUCUCAAAUUUUGUAGCACCGAAUAAAAUUAAAUACUAGUAUUAUUUUUUGUAGAACUAUAAAUAAAUAUUAUUCUCAAAACAUGUACUAUUACUUACUAUUUUUUUUAAAUGUGGGACGACCAAAAAAGGAAAGAUGAAUUCUAAAAGCUGGGACAGAGGAUAUAUUAUUUUUCUUCUUGGUUCUGAAGUAUGAAUAUUAAUUAACAAUUCUUCGUCCACAUCAAGCUCACCUUCACGUAAUUUUUUCUUGAACAACACCGAAAAAUAUAUAAUCCCAACAUAGCAUGAUCAAUCUCAAUGCACCAAACAUAAAUUAGUUUUAAAAUAAUAAUAAGAUUAACUACUAUAUUGCUGAAUUAUGCAGUAGAAUUAAAAGCGUGAUUUUUUUUUAAUAGAGCAGGUUAAUCUAGGCCUACCUGAACCAUCUGACUAUGCAUGAGUUUGAUUUUUCUUCUUGAUCUUUUUUAAUUUUACCGACAAAGAAGAUUUUCACAAAUGAAAAGAAAACGUUCUAGUAACAUACUACAUGCUUACUUCAGAUUUGCAACCAAGUCUAUUGAGGGUUUUAUUUGCUACAUAUAUAAACACAAGGAUUUGGUUUGAUACAAAUUAAGAAUAUUCAACUUUCAUCGGCUCAAGCACAUAGAAUCUCCCCGAGUAGUUAUAACUGGUCAAUGUUUUUGCCGAUAAAAAGGAAAAGGAAAGAAAAAAGAAAGAAGCAAGACGGAGAAAAAGUUGUAGUAAAUGAUUAUGCGAUGAAAAGAAAAUGGAAAAGAGAAAGAAAGAAGAAAGUUGUAGGAAUUUUGAAGAAUUUGUACUUAUUUAGAAUUGUGGUUAUUGUGGGAUCUUGUAUAAUAAUAAUAAUAAUAAUAAUAAUAAUAAUAAUAAUUAUUGGGCCGUUCCACGAAUCUUGGCACAUUUUCAAAUAAGGUAAUAAUUCAUUCUCUCUCUUACUUUAUCACUUUAAUACUUUAUUAACUACAAACUUAAAACACUAAUAUACAAUUCCUUAAUUCCCGUGUCGAAACCAAACGUGUCAAGAUUCGUUGGAUGGAGGGAGUAAUAAUAAUAAUAAUAAUAAUAGUAAUAAUAAUAAUAAUAAUAAUAAUAAUACAUCAUUGCCCUUUAAAAAGUUUUAAAAUAGGAACAUAAUAUGUAAAUCUAAUUUUGUAAAAGAAGCUCUUCUAUAGUAAUAGUUAUAGAUUUGGUGUGGAGGCAUUUGUUUGAGAAUGGGUAAAACAUACCAUUAACCCUUUGAUAUAUGCACGAGACACUUAUUUGUGGAUAGGACAAGAAUUAUUUUGUUGCAUAGGAUCCCUUCCAAAUGUAAUUACUGAUUCACAAUUGGAUUAACAAGAAUUAACUUACUUCAUAUUCAGUAUUCCAACUGUUCGAUAAAAGUUCUUAAUGAAAUCUUCCAUAGAUUACCCAAAUGCAUUGUUUUGCAUAGUCCGUACAUUGAGAUGGUCGAGUAUCUUAUGUCUAGACUUAACGAGAGCAGACUCGAUCGCUUAGUCCUUAUUUAUUUACGACACACACACAUCUCAAAAUCACACAAAUUGACGAAUAAUGUUGCCAGCCAGCUCCUUCCUGUUCCACGCGCCAGCAUUUGUCUUCACCAUGGUGGCUGUGAAAUACCAUGAGAUAAUAUCAUGUUUGGCGACGUAUGGUUGGUUUAGUCCGCUGGCGGCGGAGAGCCCUACCUGAACCUGCUCAGGAAGAAACUCGCCCAAAUUGUACACAUGGCUGACCUCAAACGUCUUCGAGCCGGCGGUGGCACUGACGGUGAUCAUCUUCGUGGCUCCGACGUAGUUGAUCCGCGCAGUCACCUGCUGUCCGACUAUGGCGUCUCCGACAUUCGUCGUGUUGCUGGAUUCCCUAGAUCCGAGGUCGAUGCCGAUGUGGGGAUAGUUCGGAUCCCACGGGCUGUUGAUGAAGGUGUCGAACUCGACGGCGAAGACCGAGGGGCUAUUGCCGUUGGAGCCGAAAAUUCCGAGGUUGGCCCCAACAGCGCCACUGGGGAUGGUGGAGCCGACGGGGGCAAUGAAGAAAGCGAGGCCGUCAGCGGUUUUGCCAUCGGGGCUGGGUGUGAUGAUGAAGUUAAUGGUGGUUUCAAAGUCGACUUGGCCACCGGAUUGGGAGAACUGGACCGGCUUCGAGUACAAGACCCGGCCGACCUGGUAUGUCUCGAAGUCGGUGAGGCGGAGGAAGGUGGAGUCCGAUGGGAAAUGGGCGUGGCCUUGGUAGGUGAGAUCGGUCGGCUGGUCGCCCCAGAAGUCGUAGGUGAAGGACGUUGUUUGGGACCACACCGUGUUGGCAGCGGCGGCAAGGAGAAGGGCGAUGGAGAUUAGGGUUUGUUGAAGGUUGGCCAUCGCUUAAUUGAUUUGGAUGUGGUGGAUGAUGGUGGUAUCUUUAUCUUGCUUCUAUUUAUAGUAGUAUAACGAGCCCUAGUUAAUUAUCUUUAAAUCAUACUAAAAUAUCAUAAAUUAAAAUUGAAGAAAAAAAAGUUAAAACCUACUCUCGCAGUCCCUCAAAUAACUUCUUAGGAGAAGAGGGGUAGGAGUUUUAAGACGAAGUUAAUGUGCAAAGUAAGGAUAAA
Molecule: long non-coding RNA, 55132 nt
Filed under: Salvia miltiorrhiza (redroot sage)
Lineage: Eukaryota; Viridiplantae; Streptophyta; Magnoliopsida; Lamiales; Lamiaceae
Description: long non-coding RNA (SMIL_LNC011427)
Source: RNAcentral